AAAAAGAGUGCAAAUAAUUGAAGGGAUUAUUCAAGGGCUAUUAUACCUCCAAGAAUAUUCAAGAUUAACAAUUAUCCAUAGGGAUAUAAAAGCCAGCAAUAUUCUAUUGGACUUACAAAUGAAACCAAAGAUUUCUGACUUUGGAAUGGCAAGAAUUUUCAAGAAAGAUGCAAUUGAAGCAAAUACCAACAGAAUAGUUGGAACAAAGUAAGUAUUAUACAUAAUUUUUUGGAAUUAAAUUUAUUUAUAUAUAUUGAUUAAAGAAAAAUAACCGGUGCACGAAACACAUCAUGUUCACGUAGGGUUUAAGAAAGGGUUGACACAUUAAAGGGUGUGAUGUAAGCAGUUUAUCCUGAAACUAGCAUGUGGCAUCAGUGACUGAUUCCACAGCUCGAAUCUUAAUUUUUAUGUAUAUAUUUAUUUAAUUUGUAAUGUGUUGUAGGGGUUAUAUUCCACCUGAAUAUGCAAUUGAAGGCAGAUAUUCAACAAAAUCUGAUGUUUUCAGUUUUGGAGUACUUCUUCUUCAAAUCAUAAGUGGGAAAAAGAAUACUUGUUACUAUGGUCCAGAUGACAAUUUAGACCUUCUUGAUUAUGUGAGUUGUGAAUAUAAAUUCAGAUAUAUUAUUGAUAUUUAAUUUAUACAUACCAGUAAUUAAUAUUAAAAUAAUAAUACAGGCAUUUGAGAUGUUUAAAGAUGGUGAAGGCAUGGAAUUUAUGGAUCAAUCACUUGAUGAUACAACACAUUCUUGUAAACUAUUGAAAUGCAUGCAAAUUGCAUUAUUAUGUGUCCAAAAAAAUCCAUUGGAUAGGCCUACAAUGUUGGAAAUUUCAUCUAUGUUAAAAAAUAUUGAAAAAUUUAGUUAUGAAUUCCCCUAAGAGGCCUGCAUUUUCUACAAGACAAGUAUGAAGAUCAAGUUGGCAAUAUUCCAAAUGGGGAAUUAGACAUUGACAAUGCAACAAUUACACAAUUGGUUGCAAGAUGAUAUGCUACUCUUUGCGAUUGAUUUAAUCUGAUUAGCAGGUAAUUUGUCUUAUUUUCAAAAUUACAAAUCCCAAUUAUUUAUAGACGUUUACUACCUAAUCAUAUUUAUUGGUGAUUUGAAGUGUAAAGAUCAUUUAUCUAUUCCUCCUGUCUCAUUUUACACGAAGGUGUUACUAUUUGAGGAGUCAAUUUUUUUUUUCUUUGACAAUAUAUUUUCAAACUUCUAAUUUAUAAAUAUUAUAUGAAUCAUUAGUUACAUCGACUUGUAUUUUUUUUUUUAUUAUGUAAAUUUUUAUUUAAUCUAGAUCCAAAUUCAUCUUUUGAGUCAAGGGUCUAUCAGAAACAAUUUUUCUACCCCACCCCACAAAAGGUAGACGUAAAGUUUGUGUAUAUCCUACUCUCCCAAGGCCCAUACUCCAGUUAUAGAAUUACACCUGAAUAUGUUGUUUUUGUUGUGAUAUCCGAAUUAGUAAUCAAAAUUAAAUAUUUCGACCUCACAUUAAUUAAUCUAGAUUUAUGUCGUGUAAAUCUAUUAAAAAGAAAGUAUUUCCUAGUAGAAUAUUCAGGUUGUUUUUGUGGUGAUAUCCGAAUUCGUAGUCAAAAUUAAAUAUUUCGACCUUACAUUAAUUAAUCUAGAUUUGUGUCGAAAAAAAUCCAUUGGAUAGGCCUACAAUGUUGGAAAUUUCAUCUAUGUUCAAGAAUAUUUAAAAUUUAGUUAUGAAUUCCCCUAAGAGGCCUGCAUUUUCUACAUGUAGAGAAGAUGAAGAUCAAGUUGAUAAUAUUCUAAAAUGGGGAAAAUAGACGUUGACAAUGCAACAAUUACACUAUUGGUUGCGUGAUGAUAUACAUUGAUAGUGUAAAGAAUUUUUUAUCAUAUUAAUUUAUUUUAAUUUGAUUAGUAGGUUGUUUGUCUUACUUUUGAGACUAUGAAUUUCAGUUAUUUUUGGACAGUGAUCACCUUGCCAUAUUUAUUGGUGACUUGAUAGUGUAAAGGUUAUUUACUUUUUCUGUCCCAUUUUAUGUAAGUGGGAGAGGGAAUGAGCUAGCCUCAUUAAUUUUUUAUUCUUUGAUGUAUAUUACUAUCAGUCGUUGUAUUUGUUUUGUAUCUUAUUUUUUUAUUGUCUCUUUAGUUACAAUCUUGUGUCGAAUACUUUCCUUUUAAAUCGAGGGUCUUCUGAAAAUAUCUUCUAUAUCUCACAAUGAUAAGGACAAUGUUUGUGUACAUACACAAACCUUCACAUCCUACCCUUGAACAAACAAAUUUUGAAGCUAACCUGAGUGGAUAGUCACAGUGGCGGAACCACAUGUAGUAGUUGAGGGGUGUCGAUCGACGCCCCUUCGUCGGAAAAUUAUAGCUAGAGUAAAAAAAAAAGUUUAUGUAUAUAUAUUACAUAUUGGCACUCCUUAACUUCUUUAUAUUUUGACACCUCUUAGUCGAAGUUCUGGCUCCGCCAUUGAAAUAGAGUUACUAUGUUGCUGGUGAAAAGUGGCCAGUAUCUUAUGAAAUUAGUUGAGAUACGCACAAUCUAGCCCACACACCAUGAUAUAUAUAUAUAUAUAGAAACUACACAAGAUAGUAAAAAAUAUAGUAUAAAGUUAAAACUUACGAUUCAUAUUCAUCCUUUAUAUGUCUCAUAAGAUUUGCAGUUCUCCUUCUUGACCUUCAACAAGCUCCCAUAUAUAUGUAUGGGUUCACGAAAAGGAUCGAAGAAUUUAUUACACACAGUUUUAUCCUAUAUUCUAUCAGAAGUUAUUUCAACAAGUGACCUUCCGAUCACCGCGUAAUCCAAAGAUAACAAAUCUAUUAGCUUACGAGUACGGCAUAAAUAUACAUAAAUUAUUAAUUAUAUUUUAGAACUUUAUACCUUAAUUAACUAGUUUAAAUAUUAAAUUAUAUUUCUUUUUUUUUUUUAAAACAUACAUUGAAAUAAUCAACAUCUACUAUAUAGACAAUAACAAAGAGAAAAAUAUAGUCUGUGAAAUCCCAUUAAGUGGAGUCUACAGAAGGUUAGAGUGUGCGUAGUAUUUACCAUUACCUCAAGGAGGUAGAGAAACUCUUUUAAAAAGAUCUUCAAUUUAAGUGCAUCAAACCUUAAUUUUUAAAAAAUAGAAAAUAAUAAUGACAUAAAAAAUAGUAUAACAUCUCCUAUAACAAAAGAAGUAUAACAUCUUAAAAAAAGAAAUAAUAAUAACAACCAAAUUAAUCGAAACACAAUACACAAUAUACAUCUAUAAUAUACACAUAAAAAAUAACAAGCUUCACACCCCCUCGAUCCUACCUAACUUCGCCCCUCAGUUUGAUCUUAUUGAUUUAAGUGAUAUAUAUAUAUAUACUAGAUUUUGUUGCCCGUGCUAUGCACGGGCCCAAUAACAUAAAUGGUAUGUUUUGGGGCUAAUAACGAAAUUUUUGAAGCGAUUGUUUGUGUGGAUAAAAGAAUAAGUUUUUUUUAUCACAAACCUGUACUUUCUUUGACGCUAUUCAAGGCACAAUAAGACUACCCACAUACAACAUUUUUGAACAAUUUUAUGUUGUCAAUUAUCACGAUUUAAUUUUAAGAAUCAGUCAANNNNNNNNNNNNNNNNNNNNNNNNNNNNNNNNNNNNNNNNNNNNNNNNNNNNNNNNNNNNNNNNNNNNNNNNNNNNNNNNNNNNNNNNNNNNNNNNNNNNNNNNNNNNNNNNNNNNNNNNNNNNNNNNNNNNNNNNNNNNNNNNNNNNNNNNNNNNNNNNNNNNNNNNNNNNNNNNNNNNNNNNNNNNNNNNNNNNNNNNNNNNNNNNNNNNNNNNNNNNNNNNNNNNNNNNNNNNNNNNNNNNNNNNNNNNNNNNNNNNNNNNNNNNNNNNNNNNNNNNNNNNNNNNNNNNNNNNNNNNNNNNNNNNNNNNNNNNNNNNNNNNNNNNNNNNNNNNNNNNNNNNNNNNNNNNNNNNNNNNNNNNNNNNNNNNNNNNNNNNNNNNNNNNNNNNNNNNNNNNNNNNNNNNNNNNNNNNNNNNNNNNNNNNNNNNNNNNNNNNNNNNNNNNNNNNNNNNNNNNNNNNNNNNNNNNNNNNNNNNNNNNNNNNNNNNNNNNNNNNNNNNNNNNNNNNNNNNNNNNNNNNNNNNNNNNNNNNNNNNNNNNNNNNNNNNNNNNNNNNNNNNNNNNNNNNNNNNNNNNNNNNNNNNNNNNNNNNNNNNNNNNNNNNNNNNNNNNNNNNNNNNNNNNNNNNNNNNNNNNNNNNNNNNNNNNNNNNNNNNNNNNNNNNNNNNNNNNNNNNNNNNNNNNNNNNNNNNNNNNNNNNNNNNNNNNNNNNNNNNNNNNNNNNNNNNNNNNNNNNNNNNNNNNNNNNNNNNNNNNNNNNNNNNNNNNNNNNNNNNNNNNNNNNNNNNNNNNNNNNNNNNNNNNNNNNNNNNNNNNNNNNNNNNNNNNNNNNNNNNNNNNNNNNNNNNNNNNNNNNNNNNNNNNNNNNNNNNNNNNNNNNNNNNNNNNNNNNNNNNNNNNNNNNNNNNNNNNNNNNNNNNNNNNNNNNNNNNNNNNNNNNNNNNNNNNNNNNNNNNNNNNNNNNNNNNNNNNNNNNNNNNNNNNNNNNNNNNNNNNNNNNNNNNNNNNNNNNNNNNNNNNNNNNNNNNNNNNNNNNNNNNNNNNNNNNNNNNNNNNNNNNNNNNNNNNNNNNNNNNNNNNNNNNNNNNNNNNNNNNNNNNNNNNNNNNNNNNNNNNNNNNNNNNNNNNNNNNNNNNNNNNNNNNNNNNNNNNNNNNNNNNNNNNNNNNNNNNNNNNNNNNNNNNNNNNNNNNNNNNNNNNNNNNNNNNNNNNNNNNNNNNNNNNNNNNNNNNNNNNNNNNNNNNNNNNNNNNNNNNNNNNNNNNNNNNNNNNNNNNNNNNNNNNNNNNNNNNNNNNNNNNNNNNNNNNNNNNNNNNNNNNNNNNNNNNNNNNNNNNNNNNNNNNNNNNNNNNNNNNNNNNNNNNNNNNNNNNNNNNNNNNNNNNNNNNNNNNNNNNNNNNNNNNNNNNNNNNNNNNNNNNNNNNNNNNNNNNNNNNNNNNNNNNNNNNNNNNNNNNNNNNNNNNNNNNNNNNNNNNNNNNNNNNNNNNNNNNNNNNNNNNNNNNNNNNNNNNNNNNNNNNNNNNNNNNNNNNNNNNNNNNNNNNNNNNNNNNNNNNNNNNNNNNNNNNNNNNNNNNNNNNNNNNNNNNNNNNNNNNNNNNNNNNNNNNNNNNNNNNNNNNNNNNNNNNNNNNNNNNNNNNNNNNNNNNNNNNNNNNNNNNNNNNNNNNNNNNNNNNNNNNNNNNNNNNNNNNNNNNNNNNNNNNNNNNNNNNNNNNNNNNNNNNNNNNNNNNNNNNNNNNNNNNNNNNNNNNNNNNNNNNNNNNNNNNNNNNNNNNNNNNNNNNNNNNNNNNNNNNNNNNNNNNNNNNNNNNNNNNNNNNNNNNNNNNNNNNNNNNNNNNNNNNNNNNNNNNNNNNNNNNNNNNNNNNNNNNNNNNNNNNNNNNNNNNNNNNNNNNNNNNNNNNNNNNNNNNNNNNNNNNNNNNNNNNNNNNNNNNNNNNNNNNNNNNNNNNNNNNNNNNNNNNNNNNNNNNNNNNNNNNNNNNNNNNNNNNNNNNNNNNNNNNNNNNNNNNNNNNNNNNNNNNNNNNNNNNNNNNNNNNNNNNNNNNNNNNNNNNNNNNNNNNNNNNNNNNNNNNNNNNNNNNNNNNNNNNNNNNNNNNNNNNNNNNNNNNNNNNNNNNNNNNNNNNNNNNNACUUUUGGGACUUGUACUCAUUUUGUUAGUAGCUCUGUACUAGUGACUUCCAGGUUCUGGGAGGGAUCUUUAUUUGUAUAUAUGUUUUUGGUUUGCUUCCGCCUGUUUAUAUUGUUAUUUGCCUACUCUUGUUUAGUUUCUACCCUCAGACCCAUUACUUGUUGUUCCGGGUUACGGGUUGGCUUACCUACUGGUGGGUUAUAGUAGGUGCCAUCAUGACUUGAGAAAUCGGGUCGUGACACUAAAACAUUGAAGAUCUAACUAAAAAUAAGGUGAUAGAGAGGGAGGAGGUACCGCAAUUGUUGCUGCCUUGUUAUUAAUCCACUAUAUCCAGUUAGAUACAAAAAGAUAUCGUGAACAAUAGAAAUAGAGAAAAUGAUAAAUCAGUGAAGAAAAUCUGUUAGAAAAUACACCUACCUGAUCGGCAGUAACAAUAGCAUAAUUCUCGUUGGAGUUGACUGGAAUUCAUUGGAAACGAAAUUGAUUGUCCUUUAAGCUUCAAUCAUGAAAGAGGGUUUCGCUCUAUUUGAUUUGUUUCUCAACUAAAGGUGCAUGUCAAAUUAAAUAGUCAAUAGUGCCUCAAACAUGACAUCUUAACCAUUUUUGAAUUCUUCUUUAACAUAAUUUCUUUUGUAUAAGUUAUAUCUUAACCAAGUCAUAUUUGAAAGAUUACCAAUUCACAAAUCUAAAUCAUUUUACCAAAUUGAGCCCAUCUCACAACUGAUAAAUUUUUUUUUUAGCACAUUUGAUCAAUCAGUAGUACACAAAAGAAAUAAAAAAAAGUAGUACCCAAAAGAAAUAACAAAUAACUCAUUACUAUCAUGUAGAUUUAUUCAAAUCAAUGGCCUUUUCUUUUGAACCCUAAUUUUGAACCAAGGAAAUAGAAAUAAUUUGAGGAACAUAAUAAAAUAAAGUGUGAAAUAAUCAGCUUUAACUUGUAGAGCAUUUGUCAAAAGAUAAAAAGAAGUGUUCAAUUAAGUUGGGUAUAUUAUGAAGCACCGAAAAUAAUUUUGUCGCGAAGAAGAGACCACCCGUGAAGAAGGUUAAAGAACUCAUUAGUGUCAUCUCUGCUGUGAAUUCUUUUUCCUUCUUUCAAAGACUCUGACACUGUUAACAGCCACGACAUAUGCACAUUCCGUCGUUUUUGUUGGAAACAAAACGGGUAUCCCUGUUACACUCCCUCGCCGAAAACCUCCAACAUGUUUAACCUUUUCCUCCUCUUACGUGAACAUGUUUGUUAACCUUUUCCUCCUCUUAUGUGAAAUACACCCAAAAAAUUUUCAAUCAACCAGUAAAACAAUAGAUAUUUAUAGGUAUAAUUAGAGAAUGAGAAAUUUACCGAUUUAAACUAAGCAACAACUUCAAAAUUCCAACUUGAAUCUGGGUAAGUCAAAGAGAGCUAAGAAAGAGAACUACAGAAGGACAUAAACAGAGUAAGAAAUUUUUUAUUCUGUAAGAGGGAAAUAUUUUAAUAUGGUCAAGGCCCAACCAACAAUAGUUGUGUGAGGCUCCAUUUAAUUUUGAAAAAAUUACAGAAAUCCUACCUUUUAGUUUACUCAUUACCAUUAUCCCCUAUAAGUUUUACAAAUCUCUAAAAUCCCUCAUUUCGCGCAUCAGAUUAAUGUAUCUCGCACAUCAAAUUAAUGUAUCAGUGCUUAUAUUAUUGUAUCUCGCACAUCAGAUUAGUGUAUCAUGUAUAAAAUGUAAUGUAUCUUACUUAACGAUUAAUGUAUCUCGUGCAUCCGAUUAAUGUAUCAACGUUUAUAUUAUUGUAUCCGUUUGAGGGAUUUCUGUAAUUAUAAACUUUUAAGGGAUAAAUUGUAAUUUUGCCUUAAAAGUAUGUGAUUUGCCCUUUAAUUUCUGACACUUGGAUUUGUGGCCCCCAUUUUAACACCACACACUCUCUGACCUUAUUUUUUCCCAAAUUUCCCCCUUUUCCCUCGAAAAUAUUUUAGCUCCUUGUUCAAUAUUCCUCUCUUUUUCAGAGUUUUUUUUAAUUUUUUAUUCUUUGUGCUCUUUAUUAAUUAGUAACUUGAUUAGCUCUCUCUUUUCCAUUAAUCAUUUUUGUCCCUCAACUAAAUCAAUUUAAAAAAUUGGCACCUCUCAACCAAUUCAACUAAAAUAUAAUUAUUCCUCGUAGCCUUAGAAAAAACAAUCUUUUGAAAUUUUUAUUUUACAUCUCAAAAAAUUGAAUCAAAUUCCUAGGAUACCUUUAAAAGAUAAUUUUUGAAUGAGAAAUUCACACACACUUUAUAUUUAUAUUAAGAAGUAUUCACUGAAUAUCAAAAAUCGAACUAAAUAAAAAUGUAGUCAAAUUGAAUAUUUCUUUUACUUCAAUUUAUUUUCUUUUUAUUUUAAAAAAAAAUUGACAUAAUCAGUUUUGGUUUCAAAGUAAAAAUAAAUCGAAAAAAUCACCAAACUGAUUAUAAAAAUAUCUCCCUCUUUAUAUAUAGUGUGUAUGUUGUGUAAUUAAAUUUUUACUCUUUUUAUUUGUAAUCUAGUUACCUUUUUAUAAAUUUAAUUCUAUUUUUUCACUUUCUAGUUUAAUUUGUAAUUUUAUUAUGAUGAUUUUAAAAAAUUGAUUUUAUGUUCAAAAUCACUUGUUUUUAGUCCUUUCAUUAUUCAUUAUUAGUUAAUUCAACUGUCAUCAAUCAGAACUAAAUUUUUUUAAAAAAAUUAUACCAAAAAAAAGUUCACCAAUGAGUAAGUGAGAGCAGAUUCUAAAAUCACUCGUUCUUCAAAUUUUUUUUAGAAAUAUUGUACUUGGUGUUGCACUUAUUAUUGAAAUUUAAGUUAAAAGUAAAAAAAAAAUAUAUAAAUCAAGAAAAGAAGACUAUAAUUAUAAUGGAGUUUAAUUUUUAAUCAUAUUAACAAUCACGGGGAAAAAAAGGCUAAAACUUGAAUUGAUAUUAAUUUACAUAUUUCUAUUUGACUUUUGGAAAAUAACAAUUUAAGACUAUAGGUAAAAUACUUAUUAUGAGGAAAAGCGAGGAAUUUGAAAAAAUGAAGGUGAGAAAGUGUGUGGCGUUAAAAUGAGGCCCACAUAUUCAAGUAUCAAAAUUGAAUGGAGCCUCACACAUUAUUGGUUGGGCCAAAACCAUAUUAAAAUUUUUCCUGUAAGAGGUAUACAUAUUACAUGGCAGACAAUAUGUGUAUGAGAUCCUCUCAGGUUUUGCCAAGUGAAUUUUGGGUCCCACUUAUAGAAAAUGUGUUAAAAGCUCCAUUUAUUUCUCUUUUUCCUGUUCCGUGUCUUCUUCUUCUCCUUUUUUUUUCUUUCCGUUUCUUCAUAAAAAUUUAUUAUUUUUCUUAUUAAAUAUAUUUAUUCAUCAAACUUCGAAACUUGAUUGCUUUGCUCGUUAUUUAGUUUGGAUCACUUUUUAUCAAACGAAAAAUAAUUUAAUUAAUUUGAUUUUUCAAAUGUUAAAAUCAAGUCAAAUUAAUUAAGUCGAUUUUUCAUCACUUUAAUUGUUUUUAAUUUUUCUUGCUAUUUGGUUUUUGUGGACUUAUAAAAAAUAUACAAUAAAAUUAAAUUUUGGUAAGGUAUAUAUAGGAUCCUUCCAAAAAAAAAAAUUAUGCAUUAUCUAAGAAUUUAAUCAUUUCUAAGAAAUAUGAUAAAUUAUUUCCAAUGAUUUUACUAUUUUCUUACAAAAAUUAAAGAUUUAACGAUGAUAUAUUAGGAUGUCUUGUUAAUAUUUGAUUUAAAUAUAAAUAAUCAAUUAAAUCACGAGUUAUUUUGAACAUGAAAAAGCACUUUCGGCAUUAUUAAAAUAAAAAUAUAAAUUAAACUAUAAAGUAAAUGCAAAGAAUUUGAUUAUUAUAAAUAUAAAGAGAAACACAUGAAUACUAACAAAGAGAACCAAAAAGAUAUUUCUAAUAAUUUUUUUAAUUUUAAAGAAGGAUAUAUAUAUAUAUAAUCAUUACGGACCAUUUAUUAAUAAAAUAAUAGGAUGAAAAAAAUUAUCCUAAAAAAUCAAUGUCUGAUCUUUUAUAAAUGAACACAAAAAUUAAUUUAUUAUUCUAAAAUUAAAACACAUAAUUUUAUGAUUUUUUAUUUUUAAUUUCACAAUCUUCAGUUUCUUUAAUCUUAUUGAAAAACUUUAUUUUUUCUCAUCACAUUCACUUUAAGUUUUCCUUAAAUAAAUGAUAUAAAGAUAAAAUAACAAAACAUUGUGGCCAAAUCUUUAAAAAACGUAGAGACUACCAAGGAGGAAAAAAGAAUUGUAGAAGAGAAAGUUUAAAAUGAAUGAGAAAAGUAAGAAGAUGAAAGAAAAUGAAAUGGGUAAAGUAUGGGUCCCAUAGUGUACAUUUGGCAGUCAAAGAAAUCCUCAUACAAGUUACAACUGACAAAAGGUGAGCCUCUCACAAAAUAAAAUUUUUUCAACAGAGUAAUAUUGUAUGCCCAUCUGACCACGGUACACGUGUUUCAUAGAGAAAGAAAGGAGAACACGUGUUUAUCAACACACUGUACAAUGUCUUUCUAAUGUAGAGGGGAAAGUACCAAUUUACCCCUAAAUCAAUUCACAAAUUUUAGACGAACUUUAAGUACAAUUUAAAUAGCUUUGCGUACAAACACAUAUUGCAGUGUUCGUCCUCCCAACUGUCCCUUAUUAAUAAGGGUAAUAUACAUAUAUAUAUUCGACUUUCAAAAACAAUUAGAAAUUGAACAGUUAAUUUAGUUGCCCUCCGAAAAUUUGUUGGCAAACACGUCUAUAUGUUCAACGGCAGCACGUUGUUACACGCGCCGACUCAAUUCCGUGGCAUUACCGGCCCCGUCCGUCAUCCAGCGCCGUCAAAACUCGCCGGAGGUCACUUCCCGAUGGCAUCUUCCGUCCGAAUCGUUGUCGUCGGCGACGUCGUAAGCUAUCAAUUUCAUAUCCUUCAAUAAUUUUAGCUCCGCAUUUUCCUUCAAACCCUCGCGUUUUUAACCUCAUAUUAGCGACUGUAUAAUAUGCUUCAAUAUCUCUAUAGUAGCCUGGAGUUUUUGAAUUACUGCUAGCAUUUUCCAUUUGCUGCUGAAGUCUCCCUUUUCACCAUAGUUGAAACUUAAAAAUUUGAGUUUUUGAAGUUGUGAUUUUUGGAAUUUGAAGUUUUGCGAGACAAUUCCUUGAAAAAUAUUUCAAGUUAAAUUUCAAAAUCUACUCCCCAACUCUAUAGCCAAACACUAGCUAAUAAUGAGAUUACUUUCAUUUUGUGAUUUGAAUCAGUUUAAAUAGUAGUAGCAAAUUUGUAUGUGUUGACUUUGUGUUACUAUCCUUUUUGUGGAAAUGAUGGGGAUUGUGAAGCAUGAUGAUUGGAACCUUGAAGAAGAUAGGAAGGCUCUUCAACUCUUGAAGGUACUUGGCAUCUUUAUUUUGUUUAAUUUAUUCUAGCUUUUCUUUUUGGGGAAAUAUUCUUUUUGUGCUAGGAUUAUUGAGGUAUUGUUUAUUGUGAAUAUGCUAGUUUCUACUAACCAUUGAACUGUUGAAAAGCUAGUUUCUUUUUGGGGAAAUUGUAGUUCACAAAAUAAUCCAGCCAAAGUAACAGAAAUCACAUCUACUAACCAUUAAACUGUUGAAGGAUUGUUCCGAUAUUGUUUCCCAGUGAAUUAUCCAAAGUUUACUAGUUUAGUACUUCGAGCUCACUUUGCAUGGACUUUGAUUCUAUUAGCUGUUAAAUAUGUGUCCAAACGGAGCUAGAAUUUGGUUUAUAAUCUCAAUGGAAGCUCUCUGAAUUGGAUUAAUUAACUAAAAAGGAAGCCAAACUUUCCUUAAAUUUGAAGCUCUUGACUGUCAAUUGUUAUUAGUCUUAACAUGUACACCAAGUAUUGUAGUAUGCAUUAAUAAUUCGUGGUAUGGAACGUCGUCGUAUUUUUUGUAUACUUGCAUAAUGCUUUCUCGCAAUGGCAAGUAUUAUCUUGUUUAAUGGAACAGUUGCGAUGCUAAAGUUGCAUCUGAAUAGCCUGGCUGAUUAAAAACAUGUCCUGCGUAGAUGUUGCACAGGAGGAUAGAUGACUACAAAUUAUGAAGCCUUACAUGUCUUGCUUUUGGGUCUUAUAUUUCCUUUGCUCUUUGCCUCUCCAAACUGAACCAUAGCUGUAUUUUGUUGUGCAACACUUAAUUUUGUAAAUUAAUUGUGUCCCGCUCUGCUAUUCUACGAAGGUUUUUAGUUGGAAGGAAAGUAAAGGUAUCAUGACUAUCAAAACUAAUUCAUAUGUUUAUGAAACAAAAAUAAGUUGAUCGAAAAUGUAGAAAGUAUCUUCAUACUUUAUUCCUCUCUUUAGUGGAUAAUUAGCAAUUGCUGCUAACUUUCUCCUCUCUGAGCAGUGGAUAUGCUUUGAGUAUGACUUAUUCUACACACUUAAUUGCAGUUCAGUGUUCAAGAACAUUUUGAGAAAUAAAAAUCUGAGUGUUGCUUCAGAGUUUCUUCUCCAUCCCGCUUUUUUGACAUGGAAGAAAUGAUCUUUAUCUGCCCAUCCAUGCUUUUGUGUAGUUUUGAGGAAUGAUUUCUAUUAUUUCUUAUAAAAAUGUUAUAGGUGUACGACGUAACCAUGAGAGAUCGUGAAAUGCAAGCUUCAUUAUGAAAACUAAUUUUAGAAACCAAACUUUUGGGAGGAUCCCUAGUGUUUCCACUUUUUCUUUCUUUCUUGGGACAAUGGAGACCUUCUCUGGAAAAAUCCUUUUGCUUUUCUUUUAUAACAUAUUUUGGUUUGUUUCCUUCUGUCAGCUAAUGAUUUUUGUUGUGUGAAAAUUGCAGCCAGAUUUGGUGCUCUUUACAGGCAUGUUUUCUAAUAAUCUCCCAUCUAUUUAUCCACAAUGCAUACUACAUAGUUAUUGUAUUCUUUCAACUACUAUGUUUCAUUCAUAGCCAGGUUUGAUUGGAAGAAUUAUCAGUUCACUUCAUUUUGUCCUUGCUUCAGGGGAUUUUGGGAAUGAAAAUGUGGAUCUAGUCCGAAGCAUUGCAGAUCUUGAGAUCACCAAAGCUGUUAUUCUAGGGAACCAUGACGCAUGGAAUACUCAAAAGUUCUCUGGGAAGUAAGUCCAAGUUCCAUUUUAUCCGACUGCUUAGAGGAAAAAAUCACUUUCUCAUUCAUUUUCCAUUAUUUGUUGGACUUCAAACUCUGGUAGAUAGGGUGGUCGUAUUAGUGUUGUGGCUUCAUGAAGGUUGUUAUUGAUAAUGGCAAAUGGGGUGACAAUUGUAGUAGUGUGUAAGUAGGAUUAAUUAGCAUUGAUUUUGGUGGUAGAGCCCGUGGAAAAUCAUUGAUAAAUUUAAAGGAUGUUUUCCUUGAAACAUAACUUCCCUAGAAACUUCGAGCAUUAACUGUAAACAACAUAAUGACAAAAUAUGAAGUAUCAAAAGGGGAUGAAACAUAUUGUCAGGCUCAUUUUUUUCCUGUCCACUUAGUUAGCAUGUCUCGACAAAUUAUUUUUCUCUAAUAGUGAGAUGUUCUACCUCUUAACUAGUUUUCUGAAUUCAUCCACUUCUUCUUUUUUUCUUAGUGUGUGCUGUUCAAUUUGUAGGGAAAAAGAUGCAGUUCAACUUCAGCUGGAAUGGUAUGUCUUUUGAGAUAUAUAAUUAUUUAGUUUCAAUAAAUUUAUACAUCUAUAUGUUAAAUAGCAUAGCUAUGUACUUGUUUAUGAUGUUUAAGACUGUCAGUUUCUUACUCUGGCACGACCUUCCAUCUUGUGUUCUGCACAAUCUCAAUACCACUUUGUCUCAGAAGUAAGGAAGAUAGAUGAUAAGAUAGGUCAUUGCAAGAUAGAAAAUAAAUAGCCAGGAUCCAGAAAGGUCCUCUUGGUACGUCUGCUAGUGGUUUGAAUAGGCACAUCCAACACAUGUACUAAGCAGGUUAUGGAAAAGAAAAGAUCACGCAACAAAAACAUGUGCAUAUCUGCACAUCUGGAAAAUAUUUGCAGUUAAAAGAAAAGAUAGCAAUAUAACUAUAAAGAAUGGGAUCUCUUUGGCUGGGCAAUUAUCCAUAUGCAGGUAUUAAGAGAUGCCACAAGCUUAAUUUUAUGAGCACUUUAAAGGUUCACUUAAAUUUGGCAAAUUAUAAAUUUAAUUGCCACAAGUAAUCCGAACUAAGUCCUAAAAUCUAUGUUUGCUGAAUAAGUCUUUCUCGGCAUAAGGAGUCAUGAUUGAUUCAACCCCAGACCAGUGAACAAAGAUUGAUUCUGAGAUUCUGGCUCAUGUUGCAAAGAUUUCCCUUUAAAUUCAACUAUCUGGCAUAUGAAUUUGUCUGAUGGUUCAAUUCCUUGGAUUCUGAUUUUAUCUUGGAAAGUAUUUGAGGCAUCAACUACUGAACUACCUUGAAUACAAUCUUACUUAUCAUAAUUGAGGGGAAAACAAAGAUUAAGAUUGGUUUGUAAGUCAGGUCUUAACCAAAGAAAAAUCAUGAUAAAACAUUAGUUCGUAUCCAUGUUCUGAAUAAGGACAAUUUCCUUUUUUACUUUUCCUUGUUAUCUGCUUAUAUGAAGAGCUGAAUACCAGAAAAAUGAAUCGGACAGCUAAGUCCUUCCCAUAAUGAAGGAUUUCUGUCUUGACCUAUUUUAUGUCCCAUCAUAUAUAAUAAAAGGAAAAGUACUUAUAAUGUAAAAGUUAUCUUGUUGGUGUGCUGACUAUUUAUAAUGGUCAGUCUUGGUGAUGAGCAUGUUGGUUACCGUCGGAUGGAUCUCCCAACACUAAAACUCAGUAUUGUUGGUGGACGACCUUUUUCUUGUGGUGGUAGGCCCUUAUUUCGGAAACAGCUUCUCAAAGCAAGGUUUGUGGUCCUAAUCUAGUUUGUUAGUUAUUUACUCUUCAAUGCACAUCGACUUUUCAUCGUAAUUUUUUCUAUAAUUGGUGAAUGUUGGUUAGCCUGAGUAUCUAAGCAUGUUUAGUGUUGCCUAUUAAUUUGCUAGAACCAAUAUUUCGGAACUUACAGUUUGAAGUUUCUGAUGCAUUUUGUUUUUGUAGAGGCAUAAGCGUACCUCUCCAAUGUAGACAUCGACUCUUUAUAGUCUUCAAAAUUUAUAUGCCUAAUUCACAAUUUCUUUUCCGCAAAUGCUAGAAAAAUACAUUACAAGUCAUCAACAAAAUGGCUGAAUUUGUUUCUGGUCACUUUCCACAUGUUUUUCCAUUUUCUUCUUCUAGCUGUGGAGUGUUCUUAUAGCAUAAACUAUGGAAAUAACUUAAUUACUUGAUAUAAUCUUUUUCAAAAUGCUCUGAUCGGAAAGGAAAACUUUCCAUAUACCAAUAUAGGCUAAAACCAAUUUAGUGACUUUUAUCUUUGCCUCUUGUGCCUAAUAUCAGAAGCAGCCCUAGCCAAAUAGCGCAAUAUCAUGCAAAUAAUAUCUGCAAUAUCAAGUUUCUGCUAUAACACUCUGGAUGUAGCUUAGAUGGUGACUUGUAACUUUACAUUACAAUUUUACCUUCUUAGGUAUGGAGUCCGUGAUAUGGAUGGAAGUGCUGAGAGAAUCUUACAAGCUGCCAUGGGCACUCCAGAGGAUCAUUCAAUUAUAUUCCUUGCUCAUAAUGGUCCAACAGGUGUAUAGCUUUCUGAAGUAGUAUUUUGUUGAGGUACUUCUGCCCGUUGCGGGAAAUUUUUGUGGUUUAAGUAUUAAGAGUAGGGAGAUGCAGGGCUAGGUGCUAACGUGGAUGACAUCUGCGGAAGAGACUGGUUUAUUGAUGGGGGUGACCAUGGUGACCCAGGUAAUACUUAUGAAUUGAUAUCUUUCUUACUGAAGCCCUUGAUUCAUCUGUACACACCCCAUUUAUCCUGAUGACCCGGUGCACUAAGCUCCCGCUUGGGGAAGGGAUGGACCACAAUGGUGUAUUACACUCAGUCUUACUCUGCAUUUCUGCAAGAGGUUGUUUCCACAGCUCGAACCUAUGACCUCUCCAGGUCACUUUUUCUGAUGAGAGUAAUAUAAUUAAAUCCUCUCAACUUCGAUGGAACAAUUUGUUUUAUGAGCAUAUAUAUGAUUGUUACAUUUUGUGCAGAUCUAGCACAAGCCUUAGCCAAAUUAAAAGAGGCUUCUCCAUAUUCGGUCCCUUUGGUCAUUUUCGGUCACAUGCACAAAGAACUUGCUUCUGGAAAUGGCCUUCGCAAAAUGAUAGUGGUUGGAAAUGAUAAUAUCAUAUACUUGAACGGAGCUAUUGUUCCACGAGUCAGACCCCCAUCUUUGACAGCAGAAUCUGAAGGAACAUCACGAGCGUUCACCAUAGCAGAAAUUUCAAACGGAAGAGUGGAGAAGAUAGCAGAAACCUGGAUUUCUGUUAUUGGAGACGAAACAAGAUUAGAGGAGGAACAUAUACUGUUUGGCAGUCCAAGCAGAGGUUCACUCCAUGCAUCUCUUUUGUAAUAAAUUAUUUAUGUCACUUAAAUUGGUAUUCAAAAGUAACUUAAUAUUAUGUAAAUAUAUGAUCAGUAUUUAUGACUUUGUUUGCAUUGAGAUUUUAAUGCUUGGUUGUUCAAAGGGAAGUUAGUCCAAUUCACAACUUUUAUCUAAGCUCUUCUCCUACAAGAAUUUAUAUUAACUUUCACAAUAUAAAUGGGAACUCUACAAUGCCAGAACAUGCACAAUGCAAUUAUAUCUUGAACUAAAAGAAAAACAAAAACAUUUAUUCAAGUUGGACCACAACCUCUAAAGUACAAACAAUGCAUUAUAUUGCUUGUUUUACACUAAAGUCCUAUAGUCUUAAACUACAAGAAAAAUAAAGAAAAGAGUAAACUAGGGUAGGUUGAUCUAUGGAAGACUCAUAAUUCUCAUUUUCCAAAGACUUGAAUAAGUUGCUCCCUUCAUCCAUUUUUACUCGUUCACUACACUAAAAACUAAAUAUCUACUUUUACUUGUCCAGAUUAAAAAAUCAAGAAAUAAUUUGUUAUUUAAUUCCUAAUUUAUCAUUACUAUUAACUAUAGUUAUUUCCAUUGCAUUUUCCAAAAUAUUGAAUAUUCAAAAGGCAUAUAGUAAAAAAAUUAUUAUAUUUAUUACUCAUUCUUAAGAGUGUGCCAAGUUAAUACUAAACAAGUAAAAAUGGACAGACAAAGAAGUAACUAGUGAGUAAUUAAAUACUAUAAUCAAAAGUAAAAAGGGAGGUCAAAAAAUGAUGAUCCUUUACCUAGAUUUCUUCAAAAAAAAAAAGUGAAUAUAGUGUAUACUAAGAUAAAUAAUCAAAAGUUGUAAACAUUAUGCUUCUGUUGACUCAAUUAUUUUCAUAAAUUAAAAACACUUGAAGACAGACAGAGACCUCUUUAAAAGCUCAAUAUCCACUUGGUGCACCAAAUUCCAAGCAUUCUAAUGAAGCCUUUUUGACUAAAUAAUGUAUUUUCCUUUAAACUAAAGCUUCCUCUUUUUAUAGUUUUGAGGAAAGAAAAUAUAAUAAUUGCAACUUUAGUUUAGUACUACUACUACUAUAUAUUCACUUUUUUUAUGACAUACUAUGUACAAAUAACAAUCACUCAUUUAUGAUGGCUUCUUCAUUAAGUAGGCCAACUAAACUCAACAAACCCCCACCCCACACAUACAAAGGUUAGUUUAAAAUAUGUCAAUGCAUGAUACUAAAAAGUACUAGCAUUGAUCAUCUACCUUGUAGUAAAAAUGAUAGGUUUGAUUAAUUAAGCAUGAGGUUCCUAUAAUAUCUUCAUGUUGUUUAGAUUAUAUUAUAUAUCAUAACAUAUCAAUAUAUUAUAUAAAGUUGUGAUAGGUAGAAAUCAAUAAAAACUUUAUGUGUCAAUCAACAUAUUUCAUAUAGUAAGUCAAUGUUGUAGUGAUGCAAAUGUUAUAACAUGUUUAAGGUCUUAGAUUUUAACUGUCUUAUAAUAAUCACAUGACAAAUAUCAUCUCAUAUUAGACCACAAUUUUAAAAAUAUUAUUUUCUUUCUUAAACUUAAAAUAAUUCAUGUCGAAUCAAAUUAUUUAACAUAAAUCAGAAAAAAAAAAACAAGUACUAUAUAUUAUGAUCACCUUGAUUUAUUACUUAACCAUAAUCAACUAUUAUGAUUUGGAGUAAACAAAAAUGUGUGUUAAUAAGUGUAUUCUCUAUACGGAAUUGUAGGCACAAUAUAUAGGGCAUAGAAGAGUGGAUUUGGAUAGUUAAUUUGUGAGGUCCAUCGCAAGAAUGAAUAAUAUGUGUCAUGAACUUGAUUUGAGAUUGAGACAUACUUGUUAAAUCACAUUGUGUAUUUGAAUUAUUAGACAUAUACUCUAAUCGAUCAAAAGUACAAUAAGGAUAAUAUAUUUAGUGUGAAUAUUUCCAUAAGUGGGGUAUGGAGAGUGUGAGUGUACGCAGAUCUUACCCCUAUCUUACACGAGAUAGAAAAACUGUUUUCGAUAGAUUCUCGACUUAAAAGAAAAUAUUUUCAAAAAUAGGGCCAGUCAAAAAGUAUGUUCACAUUUUCCAUCACUCUUGGCAUGCAAAGUGCAGCUUAAAUAAUUCCCCCAAGAUUAUAUAUUCUCAAAUUUCAUGAUGCAACUUCUUCAAAAGGAAUGUCUUCAAAUUCAUGGUUCCCCAAUAUUGUUAAAGCAUCAAAAGGAAAAAGUGAUUGAGUGGUAACUAUCACUACUCACAACCCAAGUUUCACCAUCUUGUCAUUGAUCAUGACAAUGCUAUAGUAAUCUUCAAUUCAAGCUUAUCACCCAAUUCAUGAAGAUUAUAUAUCACUACAUCAACUUUCAUCAUGUCAUAAUAUAGCUAGAGGUAGCAAAUGGACGAUUUGGACUGAAUUUGAGGGUGUCAAAAUGGAUUGAGUUCAUAAAUAAACUAGUUACUAAUCCAUCUAAAAUUUAUUUGGGCUGAAAUGGGGGUCAUAAUCCAACUGUCAUAUUAUUCUUACUAAGUUUGAAUUAUUUUAUUUGUUCUUUUAUAAUUUUAUAAUACAUGAUAAAGUUAUUAUUUUUCUUUAUAACGGGUAUAUAUAAAUAAUCACUAUUAAUAAGGGUAAAAUGAGAAUAAGAUAUUUAAUUUUAUCUUGAAAUUACUUUUAAAAUAAUAAAUAAUUUCAGAUAAUUACGUUAAAAACACGACAGAUAAUUUGAGACGGAAAGAGUAAAGUUUGAAACAUCAAUUUGUAUCCAAGUUUAUCUUUUUCUCUUAUAAAUUAAAUGAAAGAGGACCAUAUUGUUGUUAUAAACCCUUCACAGCUUUUGUGGUCCAAGAAAAUUCAAUAAUAAUUUUCUUUAUCAUUUUUCAUACGUAAUCUCUUCAUGCAAAUGUCUUUUUAAUUUUCUUUCUCUAUACUAUUUGCAUUUUAAUAAUAAUAAUAAUGACAUGCUUCUAGACUUUAAUAGCCUUUAUGACUAUGUCCUAUAAAUCAUAAUGAUAAGUUGACCAUAAUUACUUUAGUAAGCUUACUUUGUAUUAGUACUACCUUUUUAGUAAUUAUUUGUUUAAGGAAUUAAGUACUAAUUAAACUCUUUGUUUACCUAGUUGCUCUAUCUCUUAAUGAUGAUGUCUCAUCAAAAUAUAUGAUGUACUUCUCCGUUCAUUUUUAUUUCCAAUAUUUUAAAAAUAAUUUUUUAUUUGCACUUGUCAUUUUUAACAUUUUAAGAAAAGAAAUAUUUUUUCUUAUUUUUUUUCAACAUUAAUUACUUAUUCUUCAAAUCACUUUUAAAGACUUAAAUUAUAUAUAAAAAAAUAUGUGUAUUGUAUAAAUAGUUAUAUUAAUUAUUAUUUUUUAAGAGGCACACAACAUUCAACAUGAACAAGUAAAUAUAGGGAGUAUAAAGAAUCAUACAAAAUCUCUUGCUUUUAUACUUUUAAACACACAGAAAGAUCAAAGUUUAUGUCUAAAUGUACAAUCAAAAUUAGAAUUUGAUUUUGAAAAAUAAAAAAUAUUGCAUAAAUUAAAAUUAAAAAAAUUAAUAUGAACAAAAGAGUAUAUAUUAUACUAUAAUUUAAUAGUAACAAUAUUUAAUAUAUAUCAUUAAAUAAUAUUUCUUUUAAUAGUAAAUUAAAGGAAGAUUCAAAGUUUGAGAAACAAAGAAAGAAUGUCUCUCUGACACACCAAAUUCGUUAUUUAGAUUUCUAUAGCAGCCUUUGACCGAAUCUUAGCCCUCCAUCAUUUUUUCUCGCUCGAUAUUUGAUAUUUAUUUUAACGUAAUACUUAUAUUAUAUCGUAUUAUAUUAUAUUAUUAUGAUUUUGGAGAGUCUUUUUAUUUUCUCACCCACUUUGGCUUUUCUUGAGUUUGAAAUAAGAGAUAUUGUUUUGAUGAAUAUAAUAAUUGGAUAGAUGACAUCAUUUUUUUGAGGUAUAAGAAAUGUUUCGAGCCAAUGAUCAAAUAUGAGGUUACAUAAUGUCACACAUUAAUAACUAACCUAUAAAAGAAAAUUAGAGACAUGGUAAAUCUACUAUAGAAAGAUAGACUAAAUGAUAAAAUAAAAUUAUCAAAAGAUAAAAAUGAAAAGAAGACAAAAAAUAAUGACGCGAUCACUUUAAAUUGGUCAUCACAUAUGAUGUGAUUUUCAUUUUUACCUAAUAAUAAAUUCAAGAAUGUAAUAUGAUAAAAAUUAAGAUAAAUAAUUAAAAUAAAUAUUAUAUUUAAAUUGACAAUAAUACAAUGUAUCAAAAUAAAUUUUGUGCAUGCCAUAAGCUAUUUUCUUCUAAUUAUAAGUUGGUGUAUUGUAUCCAUUGACUUUAAUUAUCUAAAAUAGGAGCUAUGAGUUAAAUAAAGUUCAAGUACAUCUUCUAAUUAUAAAUUAAUGAUGAUUGAACUUUCUAAACUAAUAAUCUUCAACUACCAAUUAUUGUAUACUAAUAAUAUUUGUGUAAUAUAUAUUGCAUGCUUUAUAUAAUGAUAAUUAACUUCAUCUAACACUUGACAAUUCCACAACUAACCUCUAUCUUCCUACCUCAAUCCAAGGGCAAAAUUGUCUUUUCACUUGGUCAUAGAUAAUGGGCGCCCAUGACUGAUGAAUCAAAUAAAAUUAAAAAAUGUGUAAUAAUAAAAUAAAUAAUUAAAAAUAGUUACACCAAAAAAAUAGAAAUAAUAAAAUAAUAAACCGUGAGCAUAUAACAGAUCAUCUAAGAAACUAUAUAUCUGUAUUAUAAUACUUCUUGGUCCCAAUUUAUACAAUGAUAUUUUGAUUGAACACACACACACACACACACACAUAUAUAUAUUAAAUAUAUAAUCUAAAAUAAAUUAUUAAUAUUUAUUUAAUUAUAAACCAUAUUAAAAUAAAAAAUUAAAUUCAAACAAAAAAAAUGAUAAUUUUUCUUAGACCGACUAAUUUUUUAUACACCAUCACUAUCAUCAUCAACAACAAUAAUAUAGUAUUGAAUAUGUCCCAUAAGUGGGUUCGAAAGAUGGUUAUGGGGAUGCUAUUAUUAUUUUCGAUAGACACUUAAUUUUAAAAAAUCACUUUUUUUCACCACUUAACUAAUAUAUAUAUGCUAUCAUCAUUAUAAAUAAUUCCCAACACAUCAAAUAAUCUGUCCAUAAUAUAUAUAACAAGUACGUAAUAUAUCUUAUCUCAAAUAUCGUAUUUCAACAAGGCUUUUCUCCUACGUGCCUAAAUGACGACAUGGAAAAAUUAUGUAUAUUAUAUAUAUAUAUAAAAAAUUUAAUAAGCGUUUAGAUAUGCGAUAUUUUAUUGAAUUCAUAGUUUCAAAUUUUCUAAAAUACAUAAUUUAAAAUUUUAAAACGUGAUUUCAAUCCUUUUAUAAAUGUAAAACUUGACUCAUAAAUUUAUAUUUUAUAAUAGAAAAUUAUUUUAAAUUUUAGGAGAAAAAUAAAUAAAUGACACUCGGUGUAAAAUAUAUGAUGAUACUAAUAUUCUUGAUAAGUAGAUCUUUAUAAAAGUAGGUAUAUCUAAAAGUUUUUAAUUACAAAAUAUUAUUUAUAAAAAAAACAUAAACACAUACAACUUAUUAAUGCACAUCUUAGCAUAUAAAUUAUGAUUUGCUAAUUUAGUAAGACAGUAUAAGAAUCAAAAGAAUUUUUUUAAGUCACAAUUUCAUAUGGCAUGAAUUCUUAGAACUCAAAUAAAAAAAAAACAUUUGAGAGAGAAGAUAAAUAAAUAAAUAAAUAAAAGAGUGGGCAUUUUUGCAGAAACCAACAUGCACCAGUUCUUUUGCUUCUUUUAAUUCUUGUUUUCUGGGGCUUUGUUUCCCCAAUACCCACAUCCCGCUUAGAUCGGAUCUUUCUCAAACCAUUAUCAACAAACCCAAAAAACCACAAAAAAAAUAAUAUCUCAAAAAAAAAAAAAAAAAAAAACUUUUUUCUCUCAUUUUUUCAUCAAUCUAACAGAAAUUCUUGAUUAUUUUUCUUGUCAAUUUGAUGGCCUAAAUCUUUAUUAGAAAAAUUUUGGUUUGUGGGUUUUUUUGAUAAUGGGGAAUGUAACAGCAGGUGUAGCUGCAAAAUUUGCAUUUUUUCCACCAGAGCCACCAACAUAUGAAGUAUUUAAAGAUGAAGAUGGAAGGGUUUGUUUUAGUGGAAUAACAGCUGAUAAGAAUGUAAAUGUUCAUUUGUUAGAUACAAAAGGUGGUAAUAAAAUUGUAGCUACUUUUUGGAAACAUCCAUCUGGGAGAUUUACACUUCUUUACUCACAUGGAAAUGCUGCUGAUUUGGGACAAAUGAUUGAUCUUUUUGUUGAGCUUAGAGCUCAUCUUCGUGUUAAUAUUAUGUGGUAUGUUUUUGGCUCUCCUUUUUAUCCAUCUUUUUUGUUUUGGGUUUUUGGGGUGUUUUUUUUUAAAAUGAUUUCAUGGGGUUUCUUGUUUUUGAUAGUAUUGCUAAUGGUUGUUAUAAAGUUUUGAUCUUUACUUGUUUUCUUGUAUAUUGCUUCUGCCUAAUAUGUUCUUGUUGACCUCUUUGUUGAGCUUAUAGAUAAUUCCUCUUUCUUUUUUUUUGUUUUGGGGUUAUGGGGUGUUUUUAGAAUAUUUGAUUUCAUGGGUUUUGCUUGUUUUUUACUGUAUUGCUAAUGGUUGUUAUAAAGUUUUGAUCUUUACUUUUUUUGCUUGUAUUGCUUCUGCCUAAUAUUAUGUGAUAUGUUCCUUUUUAUUGAUAAUAUUCUAUAUUUUUUUCUUUCCCUUCUGUUUUGGGGUUGUGAGGUGUUUUCUUUUCUGGUUUGGGGGUGUUUGUAGGAUAAUUGAUUUCAUGGGGUUGCUUGUUAUUGAUAGUAUUGCUAAUGGUUGUUAUAAAGUUUUGAUCUUUACUUUGUUUUCUUGUAUGCUUCUGCCUAAUAAUAUGUGAUAUGUUCCUUUUUAUUGAUAAUAUUUUUUUUUUUUCUUUCCCUUCUGUUUUGGGGUUGUGGGGGAGUUUAUAGGAUAAUUGAUUUCAUGGGGUUGCUUGUUUUUGAUAGUAUUGUCCAUGGUUGUUCCAAAGUUUUGAUCUUUACUUUGAUUUGUCGUAUAUUGCUUCUGCCCAAUAUGUUCUUGUUCUAAUUCUGUGAAUGAACUCUCUGUAUUUUCUUGGUUUCUGAACUCGUUAACAUGUCUUUCCUAAACUUGCAUGGAUUUUGUAGUCGCAUUAACACUGUAACAUCGUGCAAUUAUAAUUCUUGAAAGUUCUGUUAUUUUGCUAUAAUCUCCUUUGCCUUUGGCACUGAUGUCAUGUUUGUGUGCUGGAUUGCAGCUAUGAUUACACGGGAUAUGGUGGAUCGUCAGGUAAGGUAAGCAAAUUAUCAUGCUAACUUCCAUUUCUAACAGCAAUUGGCAUCAUGUCAUUGAUCUAUCUCGUCAGCACGAUGAUGUCAAUAAAACCGUACCAUCGUGCACUUGUGUUCAUUUUCUUCUGCUUCUCUCCUCUUGCCUUCUGAGUUUUGUCUCCAAAUAUUGAUGUCUGUUUACUUCUAUCAGCCAUCUGAGUUCAACACGUACCACGACAUAGAAGCUGUCUAUAAUUGUUUGAAGAGUGAAUACAGCAUUAAGCAGGAGGAUAUCAUUCUAUAUGGACAAUCUGUUGGCAGUGGGCCGACACUACACUUGGCAUCUCGCUUACAGAGGUUAAGAGCCAUUGUUCUUCAUAGCGCUAUACUUUCAGGAAUACGAGUUCUAUAUCCUGUCAAGAUGACAUUCUGGUUUGACAUUUUCAAAGUAAGUAUUUUCUUUUCUUUUUUUCGUCUAAUUCUUCUGCUUGAUUUAUUGUGACAAAGCACCAUGCUGACAAAUCUCUUUCAUUUUGCAGAAUAUAGACAAAAUACAAAAAGUCAGCUGCCCGGUUUUAGUGAUCCAUGUAAGAAACAUCUAUUUCUUUAGUUUCUUCUUCCCUCUAGAUACUUUCACAUACAUUUUUUCUGCUGUUGAAACAACCUCUUGCAGAAAUGCAACGUAAGGUUGCAUUCAAUAGACUGUUGUGGUCCGGCCCUUCCCCAAACCCCACGCAUAGGGGGUGUUUAGUGCACCAGGUUGCCCUUUUUGUUCUUUAAACUUCUAUCUAUUAUUCACAAAAAACUAUGCUUCUUUAUGUUCUUCAUUCUUCAAAUUUUCUUCAUUAGAUAUGUUUUACCACCAUUCCAACUUCUAAGAGAAUGGUAUGAUAGAGGACUAGGAAGAUGUAAGUUGUAACGCAUAAAACUAUAUUAAGUUGGUGAAAUGGAGUGUUACAUGAUUGGAGGAUACAUACCAAAAUAAAAGGCACGUUAUGUAAACGGAUAUAAGACCACCAUUUUUAUAUUGUAGUAAAUGUGAGCCUCUAAGAUCCACAAGAUAAGUAUUGCAGAGAUCUGGAUAUUAAGAUGGAUAUACAAUCUUACAAGAUUAGACUAGAUGAAAAAUGAUGACACCGACAAAAGGUGCAAGUAUUUUUGAUAGAGGAUGAUAUGAGAUGAAGUUAUUUGAUAUGGUUCGGUAAUGUUUUGUGUAGACCUCCCAAUGCACUCUUCUGUUAGAUGCAAAAACACGGUGAUUGACGGUAUUUAAAUAGGAAAUGGUAUACGUAACAUCGCAUCGAAGGAAAUGGUGUCAAAGUGGCCUACAAUCUCUCUUUCUUUUUUUUUUUGGUUUCCUACCCGGUGUCCGGUACCCGCAUUGGAACCCGACUAAAUCCAGAUUCGUGCCGGGAAGUCCCACAUUGGGUGGUAUAGCGCUCCCUAACAAAGGCGACUUUGUACCCUAGGGGACUCGAACCCAAGACCUCUCAAAAUACAUACAAGUCUAGAAAAAAUGACACAAUAGGCGACAUUGACUAGUUGGCUUUAAGGCUAAGUCAGGAUGCUAUUUCAUUAGGCUCAGUAUUGUAGGAGUCGUUUAGUCUAGAGAUAUGUGUGUCAGUGGAAAAUGUAGAGAAAUUCUAAUGCUAGAGAACUCCAAAGUAUUGAGUAUUGGAAUAAAACAGGUCCAGAUAGAGUGAAAUGGAUUAUGAGAAUCCAUUGCAUACUCCAGCUAACUUAAAUGGAGUAUGAGAAUUCAUUGCAUACUCCAGCUAACUUGGAGUUGCAGACAUAGCACUUCUAGUUAUUCUUUUCUUUCAAAAUGAUGCCAAAAUCUUGUACAAAAGUUUGUCAAGCACCUGCCUUGUUGCUUUGGUUUUGAUUACAUACUAGUAAAUCUUAUCAAGAUAGAAGUCUUUAAGAAAUUUUUUUGGUCCUUAUAAUUGUUACUAAUCAGACUAAAGUUGGUAAAAAGAAAAGAAAAAUGAUUUUCUGGCGACCAGUACUUUUCUAGUUUUCUUUGGUUCAAAACAAACAACAACAUACCUAGUGUAAUCCCACAAGUGGGAUCUGGGGAGGUUAGUGUACACGCUUAUUAGUUAUUGUCUUGAUCUUUAGAAUCAAGUUCUUCGUGUAAAAUAGUAGACAUGCGUGAAACGAAGUUGCUAACAGUUUCAACCAAAACUGGAGGUGCAUCCAAGUGUUUGUGUAGCAUUUAUGUCACUCAACAACUGAAGGUUCCAUUGGAUUCUGGAAGCUUAUAGCAUUGGUCCGGCGCAAUUGCCAAACUAUGGGUGAUUUGUACUGAACAUGUCAACAAUACUUAUGAUGAUCUUUUCUGUCAAUGUCCAAUAGUGGACCAUUUCAAACUUCCCUUCCACUUUAGAUGAUUAGCGAGCUCGCUAUCUACAAGAAUAGUUAUUGUCUCCUUGAAAGAAUUUAUUCUAAGAAGACCCUUAUAGACUAUGAGUUUACAAGGAAAAUUAUCCACAUAUUGCAUCUAAUUCACUUCAAAACCAACUUCUUUUGUUCAUUACUGGUCCUUUCUUUCAAGCAACCUUUUUUUAUAUAAAGAGGCAAGGAUUGCAUAUUAAGAUAAUUAUUUGGAUGUCGUCUUUCAAAUCUCACAACUAUCAAGCUUUUAGAGGUUUGCAGAUAAAUGAAUGAACAUAUCUCUCAGCUCCACUACCUUACAUGAUUUCAUAAUCCUUUUAUUCAAAAUCCUGGACAACUAUUACAACUCUAUGCUUCUAAUCACGAGUAUCUUUUAUACUUUUCUUCUCUCCGUAGCGCUAAGUAGAAUCCUACAAUGGUUGAUGUUAUUAUUCUAAUAUUGGAAGCUACGUAAAAGUUUAUGGAGCACACUGAAGAACCUGCUUAGAAAAAGAGUAUUUCACUAUGCAUAUUGCCAAAAAUAUGUCUUUAAUUUCCUUGGUCCUCGUGCACUCAGAAUGCCUUGUGUCGUUGAAAUUGUUUACUACAGAUACUCUGAAAGGCCAGAGUAUCCAUGACCUGACAUGACUCAUUGUGAGCACUCAGUAAAAAUACUUGUCGAAUUUUCAUUUGAAAAAUGAGAUACGGACAUCUCUGCUCUGUUGUCAACACGUCACAUAAGGUGACUUUGAUAUGGUCAGAGUAAAAUUUAGUAUAUUUGAAUUUUAUGUUGCAAGAUAUGGCAUAUUAAGAAAUAAAGAGGACAAGGUAAACCAAGCCGGAAAUUCUUCCUCAGUAAAUGACAGAACAGGCCUUGGUUUGUCCAAGAUAACAAUGUACAAAAACAACAUUACCCAGUGUAAUCCCACAAGUGGAGUCUAGGGAGGAUAGGCUGUAUGCAGACCUUACUCUUACCUUUGUGAGGUAGAAGAAAAGUUUUGAGGUAGAAUUGCAAUAUGACAGCAAAAUAGCAAGAUAGAAAGCAAAUGAAGCAACAAAUAGUUGUAAACAUAGAAGAAUAAGCAACUAUGUGAUUACUAAAUAAUACUCUACUAAUAUGGGAAAGAGGAGAAGGACUAAUCCAAGAUGACAAUGUAAACAAGUUAUUUUUCUCUUUAGCUGGAAAAUUUCUCAUUUCCCUAUAUUUUUUGAGAAAUCUCGUGUCUGCACAUUUGUGAAUUGUCAUAUGCACAAAUGACAAUUUUAAGUUCCGUUUGGUGGGAAAUCAUGAGACUAAGAAAAUUAAACAGUUAACUCAGUCCAUAUUCAUGAACUGUCAAAUGAGGGAACUUUUAAAUGAACUUUAGAAGCUAUAGUGCAGAAGGAUACUAAUGCUUGGGAAAGGAAUAUCAAUGAAAAGCAAUAGUGAUAGUUUAACUGAAUGCUUGACGGGUUCUCGGAGGAUACAGAACAGAAUGAGAUGUGUCACUGGAAGAUCCUACCUGAAUUUCUCAAAAAAUGCUGCCUGCUUACUUGAUCAUCCUUGUAACAUUUUUGAAAUUGUUACAGGGAAGGUUCUCCUACACAAGUGAAAUCAGAUUUACUUGUUCGAUAUACAGUGAUGCAUUUCUGUGGAUCAAUUGAUCACUAUCUACUAUCGUGACUUAUUGUACAAUACCACUAGGCAUUGAUGUGUAGUGAAGUUGGUUAUGAUGCUUCUGUGCUCAAAAAGUCAUUGAUAUCACCCUCUGAAGUGUCAUUAUAUUUUGUUCUUAUGUGCUUAAUUAAACCUUUUUGCUCCAUCUAGAAUGCAAAAAUUCUGAACUCUAUGUAGUAGUCGAUACUUAAUGAAUUUCUUGAAUACUAUGACAGUUUAGUUCAUCGCCCUAUUUAUUUGUUUUUUCCGCUGACCUAGCUGUAGAAGUUCCGAUAAGGUUUAGCUCGUUAAAAUCCUGCACUAAAGUUCUCAAUUUCAUUUGCAGGGUACAUCAGAUGAAGUUGUUGAUUUUUCACAUGGUAAGCGUUUGUGGGAACUUGCCAAAGAGAAAUAUGAUCCGCUAUGGGUCGAAGGUGGAGGACAUUGUAAUUUAGAGACAUUUCCUGAGUACAUCAAGCACAUGCGCAAAUUCGUUAAUGCAAUGGAGAAACACUCGUUUUCUAAACGAAACAAAGGACGGCUUUCUCAAGCCCCGAGUAUAACUGAAUCCAAACACAACAGAUGCUUAAGAUUUGGAAAGAGACAAAAAUGAUUUGCUCUAGCUAGUUUGCUAAGAAAUGCUGCACAGCACCAAGAAACAAAAGGUCCGCGUUUAUUGCAGCAACAUAACUGAUUCAAGAAACUGUUUGUUCUAACACCGAUGUUACCAACUCAAAGAUCGAGCUGCAGAGCAAUGUGGCACAGGUAAGAUUUGGCCAGUUCAUUAUAGAUUGAACAUGAUUAGUUUAUGCGUUGAACAAGAACAUAGUUGACUUGUCUGUUAAAUGUAACAGUGUGUAUUAUCCCAGAAAAAGAUUAUGGUUAGAACUUUGUAUUCAACUCUCUGUACAAUUAGGAUUCUCAGUGUUUUAUGUAGAGAUCAAACUUUCUUGGCAAUAGAGAUGCAAAUUUAUUUGCUGUGUAUAAUCUACUCGCUCCGCUUCAAUCUAUUUGAUUUACUGUCCUUUUUAGUCUGUUUCAAAAAGAGCGUAUCUUUCCUUUUUUGGCAAGUAGUUAAUUUCAACUUUUCACAUGGAAGCCUACAAUGAUUAAAUGACAUUUUGGUAUAUUCUACAUAUCUUUAGUUAAACCACAAAAUUAUACCUACCUUUCUUAAACUCUGUGUUAAGUUCUUGAAUCCUUUAUCUCGUAAGUUGUAUCGUCGAUUUUUUUAUUUUUUUUGUGUGUGUUAUAUUUCACUAUUAAUUUUCCAAUUACAGGCUGCAGAUUCAUUGUACAUAUGAAUAUUCUCCUUGAAAUUCUGUGUUAGUACAUGCAUCUGCCUGUGUGAAACUGAAAUCUUUAGUUUAUGUGUAUGAUUAAAUAUUGUUGACAUUAGUGCUUCCAUAAAGAAUUCCAUCCAAAUAUUUUAUGGAUUUAAGUUAUAUACACCGAUACUGUAAAUAAUUUUCACACCAUCAUUUUAGCGUUAUCAUACACAUGCAAUACUAGGGUCUUCAUAAGAACUCUUGCGCGAGAGGCUAGGUUGGCUAGGUGAACUUAGAUUAACGGUGAGAAACGGAUAGGACAAACCUUAUCUCUCUUUAUCUAAAGAGAGAGGGAUGUGAAAGCUCUAAUAGCCUUAUGUUAUGGCCGAUCCCUCGACUUAUGGCUUUCAUGCUACUAUUAUUGUGAUGUGAAUGAUUCAAAAUAAUUGAAUCUCUAUCAAUCCUCAUUGUCGAAAUUUGUAUGCAAUAUAUUUACAGAGGUAAUUUAACUUGUUAUAGCAGGCAGUUUUGUUAUGAUGUUAUGAAAAGUUAUAUAUCGUAAGUUAAGUUAACCUGAUGAGGUAAAACAAAUUAUAUGUUGUCAAUACGUGGAACUUAAUUAAAUUAAUAUCUUAAUAUUACUAUAUAAUAUUUUAAUAAACAAAAAAAUUGUAUGCUCCAGAUUGAGUGGGAUUUGUUUGUUUCCCUCUUGCACAUGGUAGGUUAUUUAGGUCCCAUUGGACAUAGAGAAAAAUAAAUAAAUAAAUAAAUAAUAAAACUAGUUCUAUGUUAUGACAUCUUUAAUACUCUUUCUUAUUUUAAUUCUUAUAUUCUUAUGAAUACUUCUUUGUAGAACAUUUGUAGACUUUUUUUUUGUUUUUAUUUUUGGUUCUUAUACUGAAGAAUAUAUUAUGCCAAGAAUAUAUUCUUUUGUUGUCUGCAAAUCUUAUGACAUAUCAAUAUUGUCUCCUAGUGGUAUAUGUAAUGUUGUGAAACUUUUUUUAAAAAAAUAUAAUGAAGAAUACUAUAACUUAUAUGAUUUGUGCAUUUUUAUUUAAAUAUUUACUUGGUUUGUAAUAUUGGACUCUCACCAAAGUCAUACGUGAAUUUGUUGUUUAAUUUUUACCACAUUAUAUUACAAAAUUUGUUUACUUAAGGUGUCACUAUCCUUUUUCUAGCUUAUGGAUCUGUAUCGAUGCGUAUAUUUCUUUUGUCGAAGAAAGAAAAAAUCAUAGAAAUUUUUAUAUAUCGAAACUAAUUUCAUCGAAUGAAUAAUUCAAGAAUGAAUUUAGUGAGGGCAAUCUAAUUUUAUUAGUCCUUGCUAGAAAAAUUUAACUAACCACGAGAUCUAGAAACCAAUUUGUACCUUAUCAUAGAAAAUAUUGUCUUGACUUCGAUCGAAAGAAAGAACUUAAGACUUUGGAUUGAGUCGGGCUUUAAAAUGUUGAUUUUAUGUGUUUUAUAUUCUAUUCAUCGUUGUAUGUAUAAUUUAAAUUAUCCUUAAUGUCAAGUAGUUGAUACUUAGAAGCAUACAAUUAUAUAUUUGUCUAUUAAUAACUUUAUAAUUGCAGCUAAUGUGAGAUAGAAGAAAGACAAUUUCCAUCAAAGAUUUCACAUGGACAGCCAUUCAAUAUUAUAUUUAUUCAAUAUCAAAGUUCCAAAAAAUAUAAUACUAUACUAUACUAGGAGUAUUUCUUUAGAAAUGUAUUUAUAACAAAAAUGGAAGCUAAUUAUAAGGCCCUUUCCAUUUGUAUCAUAUUCUUUUAGUGGUGGAAAAGUUAGGUAAUUUAUUUUUAUGUGUCUCAACCUUGAUUAUUAAUUGGAUAGACAAAACAACAUAUCUAUAUAUAUGUUUAAAAGUUUAAUAACAAAUGAAUUUGAGUUCUUUAAAAUUGUGAAAAUUGUAUACAAUAAUAUCAUUGGUAAUACAAAGUCUCAAACAUUUUGAAAAUAAAUAAAUAUUCUUGGAUUCAUGAUUUUGUACACAAAACAAAAGUGUAGAGAGAGAAAUUGGGAAUCAAAUUACUAGUGGAUGAAAAUUACAAUGGGAUAUACUCCCUCCGUUUCAAAAUUAUUUGUCUUGAUUCUUUUUUUAAAAAAAGAAACUAUCUCAGACUAUUUGUCAUUUUAGAUAUUCAAGAUAAUAUUAGCUAUUUUUUGUCAUUUUGUCUUUAAUAAUAAUUGGUCGAAGACUACAAACGCCUCAAUAUAAACAAAGGUUAAAAAAAACCCGCUAAUUAAUCAAUUAUUUUUUUCUAUUUUAUCUUUGAUAAUAAUCGUUUGAAGACUACAAAAGCCUCAAUAUAAAAGAAGGUAAAAAAACUCUGCUAAUUAAUUAUUUUUUAAGAAAAAAGAGAAAUACGAAAAAUAAAGUAUAACAUUCUCCUACAAGGGAUAUACUAGAAAUAAUUAAUCUCUUUAACUAGGACAUGUACAUGGAUUGAUAUAUAGUUGAAUCAUUAAUUUUUUAAUGCUAAAUUGAGGAUAAUUAUGGUGAUUGCUUUAAAACUGUCAUCCACCCUAGACCAAAUUAUGUCACUAUACAACUUUAAUUAGCCAACUAAUUAAGUGGAUAUGAAUCUUUUCUUUUUAUGACAUUUUGGACAUUGAUUAAGUUCAUGAUGAUGUUGGAAUCCCUCAUUAAUUAAAUAUUAUACAAAUUCUCACUUAAAUAACUUUUAAGUGUUAUAAGGUUGACCUAAUAGAGACUAAACUUUAUGGAUUAAUCAUAGGUUAAAACCUCAUUUGACAGCUAGUGUUUUAUAGUUUAUUUUAUUUUUUUCUUCAUUUUUUUAGUAACAAAGUUGUGGCCUAGGGGUUAUCUAUGUGCAAAUUCUGAUUAUGUAAUUGUGUGUUUAUUAAAUAAUGAAGGAAACUUACGUAAACUCCACUAGUUUAGGAGUUAAUUACUUAGAUACAUUUUAGUUUGAAAUAUUAUGUAUCUUAUCAUAUUUUUGUGCAUCCCAAUACAUUUAGAUACGCCCGGAUGUAUAUAUCUCCAGAUACAUGGGGUCAAAAUUAAGUGUAAUUUGUUCUAGAUACAUUGUAUUCAUGUGGAUUCGCAUGUAUCUGGGAUACAUAACAAAUUUUGCUUCGCCUCUCUCCCAUCUCGCUCUCUACUCUCACAUAUAUCUAGUAUUACAAAUGCAUGUAUCUAGUGUGAUUCGCAUGUAUCUGAGAUACAUAUGAAUCUCGAUCGCCUGGCUCCCUAUAUUUAGUGUAUCUGGUGGCAAAAUACAUGUACCUAAGUGUAUCUUCCUCAAUAUAUGGUAGGAAACUCUUAAGUAGUGGUAAGAUACGUAAUAUUUUAAAAGUAAAAAUAUCAUAAUAGUAAAUAUGAUAGUAAAAUAGGUGUAUACGUAGUUUUUCCAAUAAUUAAUAUCUAACUAUGAAAGUUAAAUAUGGAGGGGGGGGGGGGAUUAGAAGAGAUAAACACCCAAAUACAUGAUGAUUUUUAGGUCAAUAUAUAUAGUAAUCAUGUUUAGUCAUGAUGUCCAAGGAUAAUCCAAAAAGGUAUUUUUUUUUCUACUGUUCUAUUAGUUAGUGAUAAUAAAUAAUAUAUACGGGGUUAGUUAGAAGUAUAUGGCAUGAACAUCCUGCAAUUUUUUCAUCUUUAAUCAAAUAUUUUAAAUUUGAAUCGCGAAAAUAAAGACUUUUAUACAUAAUCGUGGGUAUCAGAGAAUUUUAAGUCAUAAUAUAUAACUAAUGCGAUUCAAGUAUAAAUGGUCAAUUAAACAAAAAAGAUAACAUUUGAUCAACAAUUUUUUCAUGUUUUUUACAUUUGCAAAACAUUGAAGUGGAAAAUGUUUUGUCUGAUUUGACUGAAGUGUCCUCCACUCUUUAACCUAUGUGAUUUUAAAAGUAGAUAUUUUAUUCCAAUUAUUAAUUUUUAAUGGGAAUAUGAUGUUAGCUUCCACUAAAAAAUAAAUACAUGAAUUUUUUUUAAUAAAAAAAUCAAUGGCUUUUGUUGGGGUCCAUUUUUAAUAUAAUUUUUUCUACUUCUUUUGGUAAAUUGUGGCCCUACGAAUCCUCAAGAAUAUCUCCUAAAGAAGCAAAGUUGUCAUUAAACUUUAAUUCUUUUUAAUUAUUUAGUAGAUUAGAAAAGCAAUUACAACAUACUUAGUGUAGUCUUACUCUUAUCGUAAAUAAGUAGAAAUACUAUUUUUGGCAAAUUUUCAACUCAAGUAAACUUUAUCAAAAUUAGUAAAAAAGAAAUAUAAUAACGAAGAAGUCAUGUAGAAAAUAAUGGAGAAAAUAACAGUAGUGAAAACAAACAAUAUGAUAAUAUGAGAAUAAAAAUGGUAUUAUUGAGAAGGGAAACUAGACAACCGUACACAACUGCUUAUUAACCUUCUGAUCUAAUUCUAGGUCAAAAUCUUACCCUACAACACCUUCAGUAUAUUCGUAUUCUCGCUAAAUUGUAAAGUAUCAUAUCUGUUUAAUCACCUCUCUCUAAUACGGAUUAGAAAAACAAUAGCACAAAAUUAAUGGAUGAACAUGCAUGGUAGUUGAUUGAAUCUUUAUUACGUAUACUAGUUUUUUUUAUUGUUUUUUUUCAAAAAAAAUAUAUAUAAUUGAAUCACCACUAAAAAAAUUUAAACUCACACUAGUGGUUUAUAUUAACACUAAUCCCCUCAUUUGACGUGUCAUUUGCGACUUCCACAUGAUUAUUGAUUGAUUAAUAUAAAUUAGAUCUCAUUUUCAAUGGUGGUUACAUUAUAGAAUAAUUAGAAUAUAGAAAAACAAUCCAAAAUGUAAAGUAUGUAGUACAAAAACUAGUAGUAUUUCCUAUAUGAAGUAUAAAUACAUAUGAAACAAUGGAAGUCUUUGAAGUAUUUUAAAUUGUUUCAUAGUUUUAGUGAAGUGUAAAUUAUUUUGACAACUAAAUGUGAAAGGUGAACAUUUAAUUUUUGUUUAUGUGGUUAACAAUAGUUGUCCGUUAUACUAAAAAUAGUUAUCCAACAAUACUUGUCUAGUUUAGAAAAUCAAGAGAUAAUUUACAUUUUUGUGUCUAUUUUACCCUUGCUAUUAAAUACUAUUUAUCAUCUAACAUAUUUCUCAAAACAUUAAAUUUAAUAAAGUUAAAGGAUAAAAUAAUAAUAUUGCCCCUAUUAUUUAUUGUUUCUUAAGGGGUGUGCCAAGUCAAUAGUGGACAACUAUUGUUAUAUUUUUUUUCUUUUUUAAUCGUGGUCACGAACGGAUCAAUUCCAUACUUCUCGACUAAUUUCAUCGAGUAUCCAAUACCUCCAACCAGCAACACAUUAACUUGCAUUUAUCUCAUAAGUAACUAAUUGGGGAAGGGGAGGGGGGGUGGACUGGGGGUUGGCUUUGAUCAUUAUGCUAUAAUCAUGCGUGAAAUUAAGGUACACUUUGUUAAUUAAUUAAUUAGUACUAUUAUUAUUCGACUGACUAUAGUGAAAAAGGAUUGACAUGAUAUCACUUUUAUUUUGUUUUUUUGCAAAACAUACUCAUUGUUUUAUUUUGUUUUAUUUUAUUUUUCCUCCAUUAUUAUGAUUUUAUGCUUCGAAAUUAUUAUUUUACAUAAAAGAUAUUAAAUAAGUUUAAUUAAACUCGAUAUCGAAGAACUAAAUCGGCCCCUAAAUGUAUUAGCUCGACGCAUAAGGUUAAUUAACAAAAGUACAUAUUUGAUAUUCAUGUCUUAUCAAAAUUGACAUUCCAAUUGGUAGCUAGCUGGUACUCACCAAAUAUAAUGAUGUGUUAGUUUGGAUUCCACUAAAUAAUAUUAUAGCGUAAAUCGAAGUGUACUCUAAUACUCAAUAAUUUCAAUUUUAAGUCGGUUUUAGGUCUAUUUUUUUAAAAAAAGAAGAAGAUAAUUUCAGAGAUUGAGGGCAUCAAAGUAAAUUAUGUAAUCUACAUGCUUAUAGGAUUUGGAGCAUAAAGCAUCUCAUGUUUACACAUAAUUUACAAAAAAAUAUAUUCUAAAUAUGGGGUACUGCAAACUUAGGCGGUUUAAUUUACCUUAAUGUAAAUAUCAUUGAUAAAUAUUACAAUUCAAACAUUAAUCUAUAAAUCACACAAAGACUACUGGCCACACUUUAAGAAGUGCAACACGGUCUAUUCUAAGACAGGUAUUAGUUUUUAAUUUUACUACUUCAAACUUAUAAUUUAUAAAUUGCACAAAGCAUUUUUACGUUCCUGUUUUUUCUAAUUCUUAUGACACGACAAUAAUAAUAUACUUUUUGUAAUUCUACAAAUGAAAUUUGAGGAGGGUGAAUGACUGAAUGUAUAUAACCUUACUGCUACCUUGUGAAGGAAAGAAAAUUGUUCCGAUAGACCCUUAUUCUAGUAAAGUAUAUUAAAAAAAAUAAGUACGUAAAACAAAUAUAAUAGUAAAAAAAAUCAUAAAAAUAGUGACGAAAACAACCACAAAUAACACUAAAAGUGAAUUAAAAAAAUAAUAAUAAUAGAGAAAAAAUUAAACAAGACUUUUUCUCCUUCAAAGAGUUAAAGAGGAAUUUUGUGACAUAAGCUUUCUGAUUUUGGGCUGACCUCUUUCACAGCCUUUUGAUCUUAUUGUUUACAGGUGGCAGAAUCUUUUAGGAUCAAUUUCCCAGUCUGGGCCCACACCUAAAAAAUCAAGAUAAUAUUAUUAUUUUUUUCAUUUUACCUUUAUGCUUUUGUUUGGAUGAUUGUUACGUAUUGUUUCACAACGUAUUGUAUUUUGUUUUAUUAUAUCAUACUAUAUUAGUUUAAUGAAUAUAAUAUUUGACUAGAUUCUAUUGUUCUCCAUCAUUACAUAAUGUCACAUAUCUGUGAUUUGAGUGAUAAACCUACAAGAAAAGUAGAGUACGAGUUAGAACUACUAUGAAAAGAUAGGAUAAAUGAUGAAAUAUGAUUAUUAAAUAAUAAAUAAAGAUAAAUUGAAAAGCAAAUAUUAAGGUAACGACGCGAUCACACAAAAUUAGUCGUGAUCGCGUCGUUACAUAAAAUGAGUCUUUUCUUCGUUACCUAACGAUGAAAUUAAAUGAUACGAUACAACAAAAUUUAAGUAACAAUCAAAACAAACAUUGUAUUUAAACUAACAAUUCAAUACUCCCUCCGUCCCUAUUUCCUUAUCAAAUAUUUCCUAAUUUGAUUUUUUUUUACUUGUCAUUUUUGACAAAUAAAAAAAAAGACAUUUUUUUCUUUUUCCUAUUAUACCAUCAAUUUAUUAACAUUAAGUUAAUAUCCUUGAAAAAUAUAGUGAAUAAGUAUAUUUGAGACCCCAUCAAUUAAUAAAAUUAAAAUGGUACUAUAUCAUCAUUUUUUUCUUAAUAUAAUAGGUGUGUCAAGAUAAAAUUUGACAAGUAAAAAAGACGAAGAUAAUAGUUAAUUCUAUUCUUUCGAAAGUAUCCCUCUUACCUAUGAAUUUUUUAAAAAUGUGUAAAGAAAUGAACAACUAAUAUAAGACGACGGAGUGACCUGCGACCCACAUGUUGUUAUUAAGGAACAGUAUAAAGGGAAUCUCACGCGUGGGUCCCAGUGAUGCCUGUUUCCAGCCAAUCACAGAACGCAACGUGGAGGGUAUUUGGCACUUUAUUGCAGUGUAGGACCUGUAUAAAUAAAUAUGUACUCUUUGGUACUUUAGAUACUUGAAACAGAAAUCUUAUGUGUUCACUUUUUAAAAAAAUAAAAAUUGUAUUGAUUUUAUUGUAUUUUGUAAUUAUGUUUCAAAUACUAUAUAUCUUUAUAAUUGUGGUUUUCGAACUAGUUUGAGUGGACGUGAUAUUUGAACUCGAUUCAUUAAGAUUUGGAUAGAUGAAAGAAAUCAAUUUGUAUAUUUGCUUCGAAUCUAAGAACUCAUGGUUUUCAAUCUAGUUCGUUGACCAUUAAUUCACAUAUUUGAGUGCAUUAUGUGUUCAUAAUAAAUAAUUGAUUUGCAUAUAUCCCUUUCUACACUUCUAGCUCUACCUCUACUUAUCGAUCUCAUGAGAAAAAGGACUCGAUUAAAUUAUUUUGCAUCCGAGAUUCACUGAAUUUUACUAAUUUGAAUUUGUUUUAUGUAGAUUCAUUUAGUGGGAAAGAAAAAAUCGCUCGCUAUCGAAAGAUUAUACUUUGCUAGAGCUCAAAUAAGAGGUUUAAUAUUAAGGGUUGAGGGAUCUCCAAACAUCUCAUCAAAUACGUUGAUGGUCAUGAGAAUGUUCUUUCUCUCUUUUUCUUUUUUUUCGUCUAGUAUUCGACAUUUGUAUUGGGACAUGACAAAAGUUAAAUUUGCUUUAGAAAAUUUCAUUUUAAGGAGGUGAAAGGCGGGGUAAAAUAUUUUCUAAUAAACACAAUAUAAUAUCUAGAAAUCACGAUUUGAACUCAAAAUUUCUAAUUAAUAAAAAUAACUGAAUGCUUACAACUCAUCACGACUCUGAUGGGUGAAGAAAAUCUUUUUAAGCACAUUAUAAGUAACAAACAAUCAUUUGUUACAUUUCUAGUCAUAGUAAAUAAUAAAGUGCUAAAUAAAUUUAAACCAUAACAUAUUAUAAUAUAAGGUGGGGGGAAAAUCAUUGUCCAAACCUAAAAUAAAACUUACAAACUUAGCUCUUAUCACCUAAAAGGUACACUCCACACAAAGUCUUUCCUUUUCAAGAAGCUAUUCCAAACCACCUUUUAAUCAAGAAGAAAAAAACAAUAAAGAAGAGCUAUCAUAUUUUAAUUUAUUUGCUUGUUUUAUUAUAACUUAUUUAAUUACGUAAUAUAAUUGUUUUCCCUUUAUUAUGAUUUAUGACUUUAUAUCAGAAAAAAAUAUUUUAAUGAUGUGUCUCAUGUAUUAAUUUGUGCUACAUAUCAUUCCAAUUAUUAGAUGGGUUAAGUUGAAGAGAUCAAAAUGAAUGUAAGAGAUUAUUAAAUGGUGAAUCGUUAAUCCGUUCAAAUUUAAAUUGGUUAAGUAAAUUAAUUAUAUACUUAUAAGCUAAUUUUUCCCUCUCUAAUAAAAAAAUCUUCUUAAAAAGUUUGGAGAAAAAUUUUGACUUUAUUUUGGGAUCUCAAAAGCUAUCAUCUAAAACACUCUAAUAGUCAAAAAUUGUAUUUAAUUGCACAUGUUAUUGCUAAUACUUUACCAGACAAUAAAAUUUAAUAGGGCGACUUCAUGUCAUGACAUUUUUCCUUAUUUUGGGAAAAAGAAAACUAAUAUGGCCAACUUAUAUGUUCUUUCAAUCAUAAGAUAUCACAAAUUAAUUGAUUCGACCAAUUUAUAUUUGUCUUGUAUAAAAUUUAUUUAAAAGUGAAACGCUUUUCAUCAAGAAUUUCUCAAUUUCUAAAGUUUGAACUCGAAACUUUUGAUUAUAAGUGAAGGGAUCUAAUUAUUUCACCAGAUAUUACACUACUAAAAAAUCACUAUAUUUUACUGAAGAAUAUUCAGUGAUUAUUCCAAUAAACAUUUUGAAUGAAUUGCUAUGUUAUCUACUCAAUUUUUGGAUAUUUUUUUAAAUAAAUAAAUGCGUGUGUGUAAAUAUAUAUUUAUUUAUUAUUUUUUGAAAAUGAACAACUACAGAGGGAAAUUUCAUUAACAAAUUUAUCUAAGGAAGUGUCUUAAAGUCCUAAUGAACAGAAAAAGAUUGUAUAUACUUAUUCUCUAUUUAUUACACUAAAUUUUCCACUUAAAAUAUCCAAACAUUUAUUUUUAUUAUAUAUAUUAAAGAAAAGUUAGUGAAUGUUGCCUUAAAAGGCAAAAUUUUCAAACUACAGUUAUGUUUCAACUUUGAGAAUAAAAAAGGCAAAAAAUGUAAAGUAAGACCAUCUCCAACCAUACUCUAUUUUACUCUCCAUUCUCUAUAUUUUGAGAGUAAAAAAGAGAAUGUCCUUUCCAAUCACUCUCUAUUUUAUCCUCUACUCUCCAAUUAUAGAGAGUUGAAUAACAGUUCUUCAAAUUUGGAGAACUACUAUUCAUACUCUCUAUUUCACUUUUUGAAUAUUAUAUUAUUAUUUCUACUAUUUUUUAAUUAAUAUAUUAUUUUUCAUAUAAGACUAUUAAUUAAAUCUCUAAUAUUUACAAUUCUUUUUAAAUGUAAUAUAACAUUUUUAAAAAUAUUUUAUUUUAUAUAUACUACUUUCAUCUCGAAUUAAUAAUAUUUUAAAUAUUUUUUUAAAUUUUCGUCACUUUGUGGUUUUCAAUUAUUCGUAGUUGUUCUUUAGAAAUUUAGAAAAAAAUAUAAUUUAAUAAUUAAAAUUUUAUAUUACAUGAAAUUAUAUAGGAUGAUUAUUCGGAAAAAAAGAAGAAGAAAAGAUUUAUAUUAUGGAAUACGAAAACAAAAAUGAAAUAUAAAUAAUAAUAUAAUAUUGAGAAUAGAGAAGAGGAUUCUUUUUUAGAGAGUAAAAUAGAGAAUUGAGUUGGAGUUGAUUGUCGAAAAAAUAGAAAACUCUAUAUUUGAAGAGUAAAAUAGAGUGUAGGGUUGGUGAUGCCCACAAGUAAUUUACCUUUAAAAUUUCUUCAUUGACUCAAAUAGUAUAGCACAUGUUUAGGAAGUUAUAAUUACAUUUAUAUCCCUCUCAAACAUGAUUUGUUUUUUAUAAAUAAAAUAUAAUACUAGUGUAUAUAAUUUAAACUCUUUAAUUGAUGGGCUAACUAGUCAUUUCAUAAAAUGAGUCCAUUUCAAGAAAGUUAAAAAAUUAAACAAAAAUGGAACCUCAAAUCACUCAAACCUUAUCGUAUUCAAACUCUAAAGAAAGAAAUGGUUAAGAAGUGGAGGCAUUAAAUGAUUUCUAUAAAUAGAAAAAUACCUAAGGGAAUAUUUUAUACCUUGAAUAAUUAACCAAGAUCCUUCAUUAAUGAUUGUCCAUUCUUCUUCUCGACCUCAACAAGUUUUAAUCCUUUUGCAAAAUACUUACAUUUUUUUUUAUUCUAUUAUUGAUCAACUAAAAACAAAAGAGAUAAGAAGUCAUUAGAACAUAAAAGGAAUAAAUAAAGGAUAUGAAAGCUUUGAUUACUUGGCAAUCUUGAUCUAAAAGGUAAAUCUAAUUAAGAUUCAAGAAAACUUAGCCAUAAUUUUCGUGACCAAUGAAUGGCCAAGAUUUCUUGAAUUGUGAGUGUGUACAUAUGUGUCACAUGGUAUCCUUUUCUUAAAUUCAUAAUACAUAAAACGUGUCCUUUUUAAUUUGAUCUUAACUAAUAUUUAUAUCCAUCAAUUUUGAAUAUGUAAAAAUAGACACUUAACUUUUAUGAAGUUGAAUAAUAGACAUACACAUUGUAUAUGACAUAAUACAAGUCAAUUCAAAUGUAUCAAAUUGUCAUAUAUGAUAUGUGUGUUUACUUGUUUAAUUUUAUACACGUUCAAAUGUUAACUCGUGCAAACAAAGUUGAAGGACAUAAAUAUCAGUUAAUACUAAAUUAAAGUACAUGACAUGAUACUAAUCAUCGAGUGUGUGUCAUAUGAAUUAUCAUUUACAAUAUAAGUACUUAUUUAUUUACAUAUAAAUUGAAAAGUAUAAAUGUCAGUUGAAUUAUUUUAAAGGAACGUGAUGUUUAAAGACGUUAGCUGAAAUUAAGUUAUAGAAUACGAUGUUUAUGUAUUAUGUUUUUUUUUUAAGGCUACAAAAAAAGCUUACUUCCAAAAAUGCAUGCUUCAAAAAAGGUUCUAAGAAAAAGAUCAUAAACAAACCUCUAUUAUUCACUUUCAUUAUAUUAUAUAAUAUACAUAUAUUCUACUAUUAUAUAUAACAGACACCAAUAAGCAAUAUUUUAUUACCCACCAAUGGAAUAGAGGGGUGUAGAGGGUAAGGGGUUGGGUGAGCAUAUUAGGAAAAAAAAGCAAAAAAACAAACACAAUCAGAAGAAGAAGAAAAAGUUUAGUUGUGAUGACUAGAAUUUUUUUUGUAUGAUUUGUUGUAUUGUUGGGUUGUAACCAAGCCAUAAACCAUCAUUGUCCACACGUACAGCUUUAUUACUUACUUACUACUACAAACCAUUUCAAAGUUCCAAUCUUUGAUCUCUUUUUUGUGUGUUUGGAUUUAUUGAGGCAAUUGGGGUUUAUGGGAUUUUGAUAAAGAUUCAAGAAAGUGAUUUGUUUUGUGUGUUUGGAUUUGUUGAGACAAUUGGGGUUUAGAGAAAAUUCAAGAAAGUGAUUUGUUUUGUAUGUUUUGUGGUAAAGUUUUGAACUUUUUUGUGUGUUUGGAUUUAUUCUGACAAUUGGAGUUUAUGGGGGUUUGAGAAAGAUUCAAGGAAGUGAUUUGUUUUGUGUGUUUUGCGGUAAAGUUUUGAACUUUUUUGUCUGGAAUUCUUGAUUUUGGGGUGCAAUCUUUUUUUUUUUGGUGUGUGUGGGGUUCAAGAAAAUGACUGUGGAAGAAAUUAGAGGGAAUAUGGGUGGUGGUGAAAGGGGAAAUAAUUAUGAUAAUUUUCCUAUUGGUAUGAGAGUUCUUGCUGUUGAUGAUGACCCUAUUUGUUUGAAGCUUUUGGAUGGUUUGCUCAGAAAAUGCCAGUAUCAGGGUAAAUGCUUGAUGCUAUGGAUCUUUUUUUUUUGUUUUUGGUUAAUUAUGAUAAUUUGCCAAUUAGGUGCUUGAUUUCUUGUUUGUGAGGUCUAGUUUUGAAGUAGGUUUUCUGUUUUUAUGUGAGAAAAAAACAAAGGAACUCUUUUUCUUGUUUUAUCAUUGUUGUUUCUUGUUUUCAACACUCAACAGGAGCAUUUUAAACUCUUUUACCCUGGAAAAUAGGUGUUUCAUGUACAGUUUCUAUUUGAUUUUGACCAUGUCCUUUCAAUAAUCAUUGAUAGAACAAUAAGGGAAAUUGGAGUUCUUUUGAUUUACUUUUUUGCUUUUGCUUUUGCUUUUGUACAUAUUCAAUUCCCAAAUUCUCUAUUUUGAAUCAUUUGCUAUCUCUCAUUUCAAGUUUUACUAGCCUGGAUUUUCCUGAUUUAUUUUGAGAUCUUUCUAGCUUUAUGAAUCUUUUGUAUUUUCCUCCUCAUGAUUGUUGAUAAAUUGCAUUAUUAUUCUGAAGAUCUUUUGUUUUUGCACAGUAACUACAACAAGUCAGGCAAGGAUGGCAUUGAAGAUGUUGAGGGAGAAUAGAGAUAGAUUUGAUUUGGUCAUCAGUGAUGUUCACAUGCCUGAUAUGGAUGGCUUUAAACUUCUUGAACUUGUUGGUCUUGAGAUGGAUCUUCCAGUCAUAAGUAAGUAAAAUAUCUUCAUUUAUCUUAUUUGCAUAGAUCUAUCAUUUUCAACUUUUUGAUCCCUUUAGCACCAAUGGAUAUUGUGGGAUGAAUUGGAUCCCUCCACCCUUGACUGGAGUUCUCGGGUUCAAAUCUAGGGAAUGGAGAAAUUCCUGAUAGGGAGAACUUACCCUUUUGAUGAACUUACGUGGAGUGAAUUUGGAUUAGUUGGACCAGUAGGUUUUGGAUACCAGAUGGUUAAACAAAAAAAUAGAAUGUUUUUGCUCCCUUGUGAUUCUUAUUAGCUUCGAGUAACUAAUUGCAUUGUGUUUCACUUGUAAUAGAGGAUCUUUAGGGUAAUGUUUGGAUUUAACACUUGAGAAUUUCUUAAUUAGUUGAUGUUUGAACUUUUCGUUUGGUCCAGUGUUGUCUGCAAACAGCGAUACCAAACUUGUAAGGAAGGGAAUUGAUCAUGGUGCUUGCGACUAUCUGGUGAAACCUGUUCGAAUUGAGGAGUUGAGGAACAUAUGGCAACAUGUGAUCAGAAAAAAGAAGGUUGAGCCUAAGAGCCAGAGUAAGUCUAAUGAUCAAGACAAAUCUUAUCAGGUAAGUGGAGAAAGUGGUCGAGGGCAAUCACCAACAGGUAAUGUAGAUCAAAACGGAAAAUGUAAUAAGAAAAGGAAGGAUGAAGAAGAUGAGAAUGAUGAAAAUGGAAAUGACGAUGAAGAUCCAACAACUCAGAAGAGAGCUCGUGUCGUUUGGUCCAUAGAACUUCACAGGAAGUUUGUUGCAGCUGUUGGUCAGUUGGGUAUCGAAAGUGAGUUCUUUAGCAUUAUUAAGUUUUUCUCCGACUAUGCUUGUUAUGAAUGUUCCUGUAUUAAAUGAAUAUUUCUGUCCUAUUUCUAUUGCAGAAGCUGUCCCAAAGAGGAUUCUUGACCUGAUGAAUGUUGACGGGCUUACAAGGGAAAAUGUGGCAAGCCAUCUGCAGGCACUAGUCUUAUCUCCUUCUUCUUUGUUAUUUCAUUUGUUCUAUUUGAUCCUUUUUCUUUAAAUCAUUACACAAUUAGUGAUUUAUUAGACAUGGCUUGGAUAGUGGAGGUGAACAAGGUCAAUAUUUUUGAAGCACUGGCCAAUAAAUGUUUCACAAUGAUGAAUCAUUUGUGAGAGGAUCGGAUUUUGCUCUCUCGCCUUGGAUUAUGCUUUCAUGUGGCUAAGAGAGCAAAAUCUGAUAUAACCUUGCUACAUAUCAUGAAUGUUAAUUAGCAAAUGGCUGCAAAUAAUACUUCGCAUCUAGGGAUAUUUCGUAGAAACUGGAAAGUAGUAAUGCAGUAGUGUCUGAAUCUAAAACAGCUAUAUGGUAACAUUAUCCUGAUUAAAAUGGAGCUCAAUUAUCUUAGUUGAAUAAUUCAAGAACAUGUGAUGAGGAUGCACCAGUAAGGAGGUGCGAGAGGUUGGUUGUAGAAAGUGUAAUACUGAUUUUGUGGUUUAUAAGAGAAUCUAUGAUGCUUCUGAACAUCACGACAAAUCGCCUCCUCUAUAAGAAAUAUAAACAACUCUUCGAUAUGGCUUAUGCUGAAAAUUUUAUUUUGGUAACUUUUUAUCAUCUAAUACCAGUCUCUUUUAUUUUUUCUGAAUAUUUUGAAUCUACAGUCACCUUUUAACUCCUAUUCCUUGCCUACUUAGCCAGUUGGAGAAGUUGGUGAGACGAAAUCGAUGUAUAAAGAAAUAGUAUUGGGAGGAGAUGUUUGGGAUCUUUUGGAUGAAUUGAUGAUUUAUAUGGGAAAUCCAAUGCAAUAUUAUGAGAAAGAUGUCAAAUUUGUGCGGGUAAACUCAAUGAUCCUUUCAAGACUUGCUAAAACUAUAUAUUAUGCAAAUCUUGUUCAGUAUGAUUCAUUUAAUGCACUGCAGGGUGUGCUUUUGUCUGGCCCCCCUGGAACAGGUAAAACACUGUUUGCUCGGACACUUGCAAAGGAAAGUGGGAUGCCUUUUGUAUUUGCUUCUGGUGCAGAGUUUACUGAUAGUGAAAAGAGUGGUGCUGCACGAAUCAAUGAAAUGUUUUCUGUUGCUAGGAGAAAUGUAAGUCUACUUCAUCUAAUAAAAAAAUUGACAUCAUAUAGGGAUGGGAAUGUUCCUCAAAGUAAAAAGUUUGCAUCUUAUGAUUUCUGUACCGAAAGCAGCUACCGGUCAAAAGUUAAAGGGAGGGGGGGGGGGGGGGGAGGUGAUUAGACACGACAUGGUAGAAGGUAAGUAGGUAACUGAGGGGGUGGAGGGGGCAGAAGAACUGGGUGUCUAUUUUCUUACAAUACAGUGUCGGGUACCUUUAUUUUGAGCCGAGGAUCUAUCAGAAACAGCCUCUCUACCUUACAAAGGUAGGGGUAAGGUCUGCGUACAUCCUACCUUCAUUGUUGGAAAUGAAAAAGAUUACAGUUUCAGAAUUCUUAAUCUGGUUUUCUUUUCUGUUCUGCAGAAGUAUAGGCUUUACUUGAAAAGGAUCAAUUCAGUUCAAACCCAACAAGCAAACAUGGUUGCCGCAUUAGGGGGAAGGGACUAUGUGCGAAUGGGCUCACUGGAUGGGCUUGGAGAUUUUCGAACAUUGGGUGGAUCAGGACGGUAUACUCAUGCUGCCUUAUCAUCGUACAGUUCAGGGGGCAUGCUUGGCAGACUAAAUAGUGCUGCUGGUCUGAGCGUGCGCAACCUGGCAGCAUCUCAGCUACUCCAACCUAGUCAUGGUCAAAAUUUGAGCAAUUCCGUUAAUGCUUUCACAAAACUGAAUCCAAACAUUCCGCCUGCCAGCCAGAAUGCUAGUUUAUUUCAAGGCAUUCCUGCAUCAUUGGAGCUUGAUCAAUUGCAGCAGAGUAAGUCCUCGGCGCAUAUUCCUUUGGACGAGUCGAGACUGCUUACAGCUGAAGUGCUCGGUUGCUCAAAUAACUCCUUAUCCAAUGUUCCAAAUAUUCCGAUGUUGCUUCAAGGGAAUCCCCAGCAACCACUUACUGGGGGAGGAUUUGGAAAUCAGCACUCUCAAAACAUGACUCCGUUUAGCUCAGACUCGUUCAAUACUGGUGUUAAUGGAUCUUCCAACUUUCUGGAACAUGGUAGAUGUAAUGAGAACUGGCAAAAUUCCAUUCAGUUAUCGAAGUUCCAGUCUAAUUCUUUCCCAUUGACUGAAUCCUUCAUUAACAGCCAUUUGCCACAAAAUAGUGUAAGGGAAGCCACGACUCAUUUACAGAACAGCCCUCUUGAUUUUACUUCCACCACCUCAGUUUCUCCUCCUUUUGAAGAUUCAAGGGGAGAAAUCCAAUACCGUCAAAGUAUGGCAGGUGCUGUUCAGAGUAUGAAUCAAACACCAUCUCAAGCAUGGGCCGAUAAUAAACAACAUUAUUCCCACAACUCAAAUAAUACUUUUGGCAACAACUUAAGGUCUCAGGUUCCCAAUGAUGGUAACAUGGCUUCUUUAAGCCACAGUAUGAAUCAAAGCAAUGAGAACUUUGGCAGAAGGAUGGACAUGUCAUUGAUUGGUAGAUCGAGUGGAGGUUCUUCGACACUCGUGCAGCAAACCGAGCAUGAAAAGUUGACCCUAGAUUCAAGGACAAGGUCAAAUGAAGACUACCUCUUGGAGCCAACAAAGCAACAAGUUGGUUUUAGUCCACAAGGCUAUGACUCCCUGGAUGAUCUAAUGACUGCAAUGAAACGGGUAUGAUUACCUUCUCUAAUCUUGAAAUGUCCGAAUAUUUUUUUUUCCAGCAUAAACAACAUUACAUAGAAAACACUAGUUCAAUGUAAGAUAAUUUAUUUGAACGAGAUAAACCUGACUUCUACGUCAAUAGUUAAAUGUAUAGCUGGAUUUUGCAUCCAACUUAUGAAAACAAAUCUGCAGAGGAGGUGAUGACAUAUAUUUGCUUCACCAACAAUAGCAACCAAUACCACAAAAAGCGGGGCUGAAUCAAAUGGCUAUGUUGGUUAUCUCUUCCUAUAGCUUUUCGGGAUAAAACACUGUUUCCCCUUUGGGAUUCAUCUGGCACUAUAUCUGAUGUCAAUAAGGUGCAUACUUAUAUUGACCUGUACACCUAUAUGAAGCUAUAGUCAAUGUCUAUUGUGUUCUUCUACUUCCGAGUUCAUUGUUCAUUUCAUCUCUUUUCAAGUUGAAUCACUCUAUUAAUCAAAAACAGUAGACUUCUCAACUAUUUUUGCUCUUGCUAGUGCCUCAGAAAUUCUUGAAUUUCUUGCAAUAUGAGAUUGAAUGCCAUGACUCUUAUUUGUAACCAUCAAAUCCUAGUUUCCAAGAUACCACAUCAGUCCAAUCACCACUAAUCUUAGGUUAUCAGCGUCGCUAAGCUUCACGAAUCCACCAACAAUAGCUUCUCGGGAUUAAACACUGUUUCCCCUUGAGGUUCAUCUUGCACUAAAUCUGCUGUCAAUAAGCUGCAUAUUUUAUCGACUAGAAUAACUAUAUGAAAAUACAGUCCAUGUCCUUUUUAUUGUGUUUCUUCUACUUCUGAGUUCAAUGUUCAUUUCAUCGUCUUUUUAGUUUAAUAACUAUAUUAUUUCAACAACAGUGGACUUUUUAACUAUUUUUUGCUCUUGCUCAUGCUAGUGCCCCCAAAAAUUCUUGAAUUUUUUGCAAUAUGAGAUUGAAUGUCAUAAUUCUUAUUUGUACAUCAUCACUUCAAAUCCAGUUUUCGAGAUAAUGCAUCGUCCUAUCACCACUUAUCUUAGGUUAUCAGGGGGCACUAAGCAUCAGAAUUGAAAAUUUUCUUAUUUUUGUCAGCGGAUUUCACUCAUCAAGUUCUUGUUUGAUCUACCACCGUUAAGUUUCUGCACUUUGUUCCCUUGAUUAUGACAAGAUUGCAAAGAUCCUUACUUUUAUUUCGUUACAAACAUAAUCAAGAAAAAGAAAAGGAAACUUUUGUGCUCUUCAUACUGCAUUAUAAGAGUAAACGAAUGCUGGUGCAUUAUAAAGGAUUUUUGCCAGUUGUUAUUGAAUGCGACGACUCUUCACCACUAGUCUUAGGCAUCAAAAUUCAAAAAGUUGUCUUUUUUUAUUUUUGCCUGUAGAUUUUGCUCGUCACGUUCUUUUCUCAUUACAUACAUACAUUACCAAGAAAGCAAAAGGGAAUGAAUGCCUUUUGAAACUUUUGUGCUCUUCAGACUGCAUUUUAAAGGAUUUUUCCUUAUGCAAUGCAGGAGCAAGAUGGAGGCAUGUUAGAUGAAGGAACAAUAUGGAUUUAACUAUGAAGUUUUCUAUAGCUGUCAGUCAGCAAGAAGAGGAUCUAGCUAGGUUGCAGCAUUACUAAUUUAGGAGUUAAUAGUGUCAAUAUGUAGUAGUACUCCGCAGGCCUUCUGUUUGGUUAUUUUCUUCUGGAAAUGAUGUUAUUGACAGUACCAUUUCUAAUGUAAAUUGCUUGCUGCUUCUUAGCGAUGACUUCUCCAACAUCAAAGCUUUUUUUCGUUUGUCAUUUUUCUUUUCAUGGCAUUCUGCAGAUUAAUUUUGUGCUGUGAUAAAGUUCAGAUUACUUUAAUGUGGUGAUAAAUCUAACUAUAUCUUGGAAAAAAGUUAUUCAAAGCUAUGUUGCUCGGACUCUUAGUGUAUAUGUGGAGGAUACGACAUGAUUGUGGCAAUAUUUCUGAGCAAACUAGGUUCCAAGUUUAUAUCUCUAUGUUAUUUUUUUAAUGUUUUUGUACACUCUCAAGAAAGAGUUAAUUGCCUUUGAUUAUAAGAAUAUUUGUCUUAAACUAUCUUCUAUGACUUCUUAAAUAUUUCACUUAAUUGACACUCUACUAGUUGAAACAAUAAGGUGUUUAUUUAGAAGAAAUAAUAAAUAAUAUUAUAUAUAUAUAUUAUCACAAGAUUCUUGGCUCAAGAAUAAUGAAUCAUUCUGAAUAGUAACUAUAACAAAAUUAUACGAUUAUUAAUUACAAGAAACAUAAUAUAAUAAUAUAAAACGAAGGCUAUAAUUACUAGCUAGCAUGGGAAGGUAAUAAAAGCAUUUUUUAUGACUAAAUAAAUAGUCUUUUAGUUUAAGCAAUUCACUUAAUCAUAAACCUUUUACCAAUUGAUUCUAAGUAAAAAAAAAUAUUAUAUGAAUGAAGCAAGUGAAAUAUUACUGCAAGUUGUCAAACUCAAAGAUAUAUAGUUGUUGUGUUUUUAAGUCUAUUUAACCGAUUGACAUGUGAAGGAUAAAUAUUUAUUCAUGUGUUUAUAUUAAAUUGUAUAAAUUUAUCAUAAUUAAGUAUUUAAUAAAAUGAAAAUGUAUGUUAAUAUCGAGUGUGAAUAAUUUUUUAUCAUGUGACGGUAGGUAGUCCACAAAUCAUAGCAUAAUGAAUAUCCAAUUUAUAGAAGAAAACAACAUUGCCCAAAUUCCUAACUUGACUUGUUCCUAAAGAUUAACUAGUCAAUUUAUUAGCCAUUUUGUCCAAUAAAUAAAGAUAGUGCAUCCACCAAUAAAUAAUCCAAAGACCAAUAAAUAAAUAAACAAAAUAAUCCAAAGACCAAUUAGUCAACGUGUACUUAUUAUAUUAGACAUUUUCGCAAUCAAAAUAGUGCAUCCACCAAAAAUCAAAAGAAAAAAAAAUACUAGACAAUCUUCUUAGGAACAUCAAAGAAUCAAUCACUUUAUACCAAGUUUUUUUAGUGAAUAUUGUUGAUUAUAGGGGUCAAAUAGAUGAGCUGGAUUGAAAUUGAGCGAGUUAAAAAUGAGUUGAGUAAGUAAAAGGGUGAGUUAAUUAUUAAUUCGCCUAAAAGUUAUUUAAGUUGAAAUAAAUUAAAAACGAAUUAAAAUCUAAUCCGUUCAAGUACUAUUAAGUUUUAAUUGCUUUAUUAUUUAUUUUAUAAUUUUUAAUGCCUAGUAAAAUUAUGAUUUUCUUCACUAUAGUUGUAUAUAACAUAUUAAAUAAGAAAUUGUAUUUUCUAAAAUGUUGACAAAAAUUUUCAUGAAGUAGUUUUUUUUUUAAUUUAUGAAGCAAUUUGGAUUAGAUAUCAUCUCAAAUUUUGAUGGACUAAAAGGGGCUAAACUAAUAAUAGUCAAUGUGUAAUCAUCAGUCCAAAUUUGGACGAAUCGAGUUGUUAUAGUUUCAUGAGCUAAUUUGCCUCCUCUAUAAUUGAUAUAGGCAAAUUCAAAAUUUGAAAUCUAUGAAUUAUUAUACAUAUCUCAAUUAAUAUAUAAUAAUAAUUCAAUUUAUAAUCAAAUAUUUACGAGUAUUCUUGAUAUUCUUAAUAUAAAUACAUUAUGGGAAUAAAAACUAUUGCAUUCAUGUGAACGCAUACCUUAUUGAUAUGAAUAGUUUUUUAUAUGAAUUUUUUUGAUAACUUUAUAAUUUUCUACAACAAAUCUAUUUGAAAUAUCCAAUACUUUAGAGAAUCUAGAUAAAUUUUUUAAGUAAAAUCCCAAAAAAUAUAUUUUUAUCUCAUACCAAAUUCCUUAAUUGAUAACAUUUUUUUAUAACAACAUAAAUAUUCUGAUAUAUUUAAGAUCAUAAAUUUAUAAAAUUUUAUAAUCAUAUAAAAGAUACUCCUAUAACAUGUUAAUAAAUAUUGCAUUUAUAAAAAGAAAAAAACAAUAGCAAAAUUUCUAACAUGACUUAUUCCUGAAGACUAGCUAAGUCAAACCUUGUAUUUAUUAAUUAUUUUCCAUUUCCCCAAUCAAAUACAAUGCAUCAAUCAAAUCAAAAGAAAAGAAAAAUAUGAGACCAUCUUCCUAGAAACAUCAAGAGUCAACCACAAUAAAUUAAAUAGAUCUGUGACCUAAAAUAAAAUAAAAAACCACUUCAUUACUAGAGGAUACUGUAGAUUAGCGUCUUUUCAAAAUUUAAUUAAAUUUUUUAUAUUAAUUUUAAAUUAAUAAAUAAAAAUGAUAAAAUUUAUAACUAUUUUAUAAAUUUUCUUAAUAUAAAUGAUAAAUGUUAUUCUAUAAUCUAAGGUUACAAGUUUUAAAACAAUAUUAUUACUUUAAAAAUCACAUAUUUCAAAAAUAUUUUAUCUUUAAGUUUUUAACUUUAUAUCGAAACAGAUAAGUUCGCAUAAAUUGAAAUAUUCGUAUCAAUAGUCUAUAAGCUUUUCUAAAAUAUUUAUGAUUCUUUUAGAAACUAAAAAAAUCAUCUUUAACUUUUUCCACGCUCAACUCAAUUUUAUUUAUUUGUGAAUUGAGAUUGGAUUAAAUUUGAAUUUGCAAAUUAUAGGGCUCAAUUCUAGAGAAGGUGUUCUCAAUACAACGUUCUUUUCUCCAUUCUCAAUGAUUCAAAUCCGAUACUUCUAUUUAAGGGCAAAAAAAGAUUCUAGCCAUCCCACCACAACUCAUGUCGCAUAGUUAACUCAAACCAUGAAACUAUAUAAUAUGAAACUCACCCAAAAUCAUACUUGUUUCAGCCAUGGCCUUUUCCUACACUAAUAUUUUCUUAUUUUUCUUCCUCCACCAACUAAUCAUUUUCUCUAAUGGCCAAAUUAUUACAAUUAAGGGAGGUUACUGGCUAUGGGACAGUGGAUUAAUAGCCUUAAACAAAAUUGAUUUAACUCCUUUCUCUCACUUAUUUUGUGGAUUUGCUGAUAUUAAUUCCCAAUCCAAUCAAUUAAUUCUCACUUCACCAAAUUCAUUCAUACAAUUUACAAGCAUAGUCCAACAAAAAAAUCCUUCUGCAAAAUUUUUAUUGUCAAUAGGUGGAGGAGGUGCAAAUAAAACAACAUAUGGAGUUAUGGCUACAGCACCAAAUUCAAGAAAAAGUUUUAUUGAUUCAUCAAUAAAAUUAGCUAGACAAUUGGGAUUUCAUGGUCUUGAUCUUAGUUGGAUAUUUCCAGAAUCUGCUUCAGACAUGAUGAAUUUAGGUACUGUAUGAUCAUCUCAUCUAAGAGCUAGUUUAAUCAAACAGAGAUAAAAAUUUGAAUAUUCUUUCCUUUUUCAUAUACAUGAUUGACGAAAUUUGAAUCUAGAGUAUUCUUUGCUCUGAUAUCAUUUUGAGUUGUGGAACCCUGAUUUCAUAUUUUAAAACAUCAAUAUUUAGAGAGUUCCUAUUGGUUUAAAUUUAUUGUGAUUUAGAUUUACUUUUCAUUAAUAGUUGAAGUCAUUUAUAAAAUGAGUUAGAUUUAUUUGUACCGACUAAGAUAAAGACUUUAAAACACAUAGGCCUUUUAUAAGAAAAAAAAAGGGUGAAAUACACAAAAUAAUUUGAAUUUGUCCCUAGACAGCUUUGCAAAAUGGUCAAAUUUCAUAAUGACGAAUUUAAAACUUAUGUCGUUAGUCAAUAAGAUGAGUAAAUAAUAUAUAGCCUUGUAAUAAGAGAAUUUAAUGUAAAAGUUAGACGAAGAUAAUCUUUUAUUUACUUAUAUGUUAUGAAGGCAUCCUUUUGAAUGAGUGGCGCAUUGCUAUCAACACGGAGGCAAGAAACUCCAGCAAAGUGGCUUUACUUUUCACGGCAGCCGUUUCCGGUUCGCCCCGAGUCAAUGGUUCAAUUUAUCCGGUUCAAUCACUAGCAAAAAAUUUAGACUGGAUCAACCUAAUAGCAUACGACUUCUACGGACCAAAUUGGUCGCCAUCACAAACAAAUUCACAUGCACAAUUAUUCGACCCGGUGAACUAUGUGAGUGGUAGUGACGGAAUCAACCAAUGGAUUCAACAAGGUGUCCCAUCACAAAAAAUUGUUUUUGGUAUUCCUUUUUAUGGAUAUGCAUGGAGAUUGAAUAAUACGAAUAUUCAUGGUCUCAGGGCACCGGCUAUCGGAAAAUCAGAUGUCUACGAUGAUCCGUGGAUGACAUAUGACCAAAUUAGGGAUUUUAUAGUGCAACAUCGUGCCACGACCAUACAUGAUGAUAGAAUUAUUGGAGAUUAUUGUUACUCGGAAAAUACUUGGAUUAGUUAUGAUGAUAUUCAAACUGUUAAGACUAAAGUGUCUUAUAUUAAAAGCAGAGGGCUGCUUGGUUAUUAUGCAAUGGAUAUUUCAGGAGACACUAAUUGGAAUUCUCUUCUUUCUCAUGCUGCUUCACAAGGUAUAAACUAACUCCAUUCAUUUUGUUAUUCAAAAGGAUUUAUAUCUUUUCAUACUAAAAAAAAAAAAAAAAGGUAUGUAAGCAUUUCAACUCCUUUCAGUUUGAUCAUCUCAUAAACUUGAUAUGUCACCUUAGUGUCACGUGUCGACAACACAAAAAAGACAAAUUGAGGUGUUGAUCUAGACAUACAGCGUUUACUUGUCAGUUGAGAUCAAAAUUUAUAAUGUCGAUCUAUUAUAUUAUACCUAUUAUAAAUUUAUGAAUGGCUCAACUAUUUAUUUUUCUUUUGUUUUUUAAAAUUUAGAAGCUGAUGGAAUGACACAAGGAGAAAUUGUGAAGAAGAAGAAAAAACUCAAUCGACUAGUUAUCAUUUUGAUUCCAAUUGGUGCACUACUAAUAUUGAUAUUGUUAGUGUUUAUAAUUUGGUAUCUUCGAAGGAGACAAGUACCUAAGUUUCAAGGUAAUUACUCUUUUCGAUUAAUUUUACGUGAAGAUGUUAUCAUUAAAAAGUCAAACAUAUAUAUUUUUUUUACUCUAAUAUUUUCAGAUAUUUUUAAAAUAUGUGAAAUUAUUAUUAACUGAAUUUAGGAGUGUUAUUAAUAUUCUUCUUUUUAAUUUUAUUUUUUUAUAUUAGAGUUAGAGAGGAACCAAAGGAACAAAAUGGGAAGUAAAAAUAAAGCAAGAAAAAGUGGAGAUAAUAGCAAUUUGCAAGUUUUUAGUUUUGAUGAGAUGAAGGAAGCUACAAAUAAUUUUUCAUUUGACAAUAAGCUUGGAGAAGGGGGAUAUGGACCUGUUUUCGAGGUAAAUUCUAUCGAUAUUUAUAUUAAAUUAAUCAAUAUAAAUGUUUUACUUAUAUAUAUAUUUUAUUUUAUUUUUAGUUUUGUAUAAUUAAAAAUUGUUGGAGCAAAAUAUUUUGAGUCUUGAAUAGGAAGAAAAUGUGAAACAGAAUCAUUAUGUGGUCACCGUAAAAAAUUUCUAAUUUGAAUUAACAUCCUUUUAGCAAAAAAUGGUACUAAUAUUGCUAAUUAUAAAUUUUUCCCUUUAUAUAUAUAGCACCUGUUGGGUUAAAUAAUUCUUUAAUGGUCUGGUUAAUCAUUGUUAUUUUUUUAUUUAAAACAAAUAUCUUCAAUGAUUUUUGGAUGGCCUGUGGUAUAUUUUUAAAUUCGAAUCAGAAAUUUGUGCCAGACUACAAAUAUAUGCAUGGCAUAUUUAAAGUAAAUUCUUUAAAAAAGAAGAAGGAAAUUUCGCAAAUAGCCACUAAAAUAAUCUUAAUUAGGCUCUAUAGUUAUAGUUUGUUAAUUAACUAAUAUAUGUUUGCUUCUCCUCAUAAUUUCUCUAAAAAAAUAUAGGUGGUUGAAAAUUCAAAGUUGAAAAAUAAUUUUAAAGUUUAAACAAAACAAGAAAUUAAUAAAACACGAUAUUAUAUUUUAAACUAACUGAUUAAAUUAAUGAUGGGACAGGUCUUCAAUCUUCAAGAUGAUGAAUUUACUAAUAGGAGUUGUUAAUUAGUAAUUAAUGCUAUAAAUAAUCUUUUUUGGGAUGCACAAAGAAGAAAAUGGUGCCAUAUAAAUUACGACGAUAAUAUUCACCGUAUUUAUGUUUAUGAUAGAUAUUGAGUGUACCUCCCUAAGUAAAAUUAGGAAUUCAAAUUUUAUGUCUAUUUAUUUACUUUUUAAAAUAAAAAUAAAAAUUGUUAACACGACCUCUCUAACUAGUUAUUGAUGUUUUCUUUCUUUUCUAAAACUUGGUAUACCUAAGUGGUUAUUUAGUGUUAUGUCUUGCAUCUUAUUUAGUACUUUUUUCUUUUUCUUUUUCUUUUUUUGGUCUGGUUUAUUCUUUUAAAAUUUCAAUUGAUCCCAACAUCUUCGAUACAAAAUAUAACUAUAGAUGUUAAACAAUAAUUUUAAAAAAGGACAUAAUAUGUUAAAGUGAGAAUUUGAAGAUUAAACUGAUUAAAUUUUUAUUUGAGUUCACUUCUUCAUAAUAAUACAUCAAUCUUCUUGAAAUUCUGAAUACGCUUCUUAUAAAUCUAAAUAGGGAAAGUUGAGGAAUGGGGAAAAAAUAGCAGUGAAAAGGUUAUCAGAGACUUCAUCUCAAGGAUUGGAAGAAUUUGAAAAUGAAGUGAUUCUUACUGCAAAAUUACAACAUAUAAAUCUUGUAAAAGUUGUGGGAUUUUGCAUUGAAAAUGGAGAAAAAAUGUUGAUCUAUGAAUAUAUGCCCAACAAGAGCUUGGACCACUACAUUUACAGUAAGUCAUUCUUUUUUAUAUUUGAGUUUAACUUGCUUAUAAAUUAUAACAUACCAAUAAAGUUGUGAUGGACUGAUAAGUAUUCAUUCAUCUUUAAUCAAAUAUCUCAAGUUCUAAUUUUUCCUUAGUACAGAAUUGCCUUUGUUAUGAAGUGUUUUACCCUUGAUAUGGGACUUCUAAAAACUAAUUUAAAUUUAAUCGGAAUCCAAUACGAAUAUCAAAUAGUGGCCAUGACCCCUCCCCCUCCAAAAUAAAAAGGGACUUACCUAUACUAUGAAUUUGGAUCAAUCAAAAGAUAAUUAUAGGUAAACAUCCACUAUGUUGUUAUUCCUAUUAAGCACCAGUGUUUGUUGCAACACCAACAAACAGUCUGUAACAGCUUAAAAAGAUUGAUUUUUAGCCGAUCCACCCCUGCAAUAAGAAUUAUACUGUAUAAAAUAAAGGUAAAUUUGAAAGAAAAAAAAAAUAUUUUAUUAUGUAAAAAAAUAUACUUAUUUUGAAUUAAAUGUAAAAGAUAAAAAUACCAUAUUAUAUGGACUGAAAAGAAUUAUAAAAAUAUUAAAUCUCUUCGCUUUUUCACGUGUUUUUUUUAAAUAUCUAAUUUGGAUCUUUUUAAUUGACAUUCUGACUCUGUCACUAACUCUGAAGAUGAAAUGUAUUUAUAUGUUUUUUGAUCAACUUGAUUUGUAUUUUCUCAUGUAGAUCAAGUGAGAAGAUUAGUUCUAAAUUGGGAAAAAAGAGUGCAAAUAAUUGAAGGCAUUAUUCAAGGGCUAUUAUACCUCCAAGAAUAUUCAAGAUUAACAAUUAUCCAUAGGGAUAUAAAAGCCAGCAAUAUUCUAUUGGACUUACAAAUGAAACCAAAGAUUUCUGAUUUUGGAAUGGCAAGAAUGUUUAAGGAGGAUGAAGUUGAAGCAAAUACAAGCAGAAUAGUUGGAACAUUGUAAGUAUUAUAUAUACCUCGUAAACAAUUUUUACACUAUCAAAUUAUUUAAUAUAUAUGGGUACGUAAAAUAAGCUUUGUAAGCGAUAUUCCAUAUUAAGUGAUCGAAUAAAGUGAAAAUAUAUAUUAAUUGUUCAUAAUUA
Molecule: long non-coding RNA, 54876 nt
Filed under: Solanum tuberosum (potato)
Lineage: Eukaryota; Viridiplantae; Streptophyta; Magnoliopsida; Solanales; Solanaceae
Description: long non-coding RNA (STUB_LNC006913)
Source: RNAcentral